CCCGGUGCGCCGCACAGUGCCUCUUAGAAGACGCAUUUUGUUUUUUGGUGACAGGAGUGAAAAAGAAAAAAUGAACUGAUCUGUCCUGCCCCAGUUUGCUUUUAGUUCUCCAAGCUGGCCGCGCCUACACUUUGCACACUGGGACGAGGGAGGAAAAGGGACGCAACUGGAGCUCGAAGCGGCGCCAGGCGAGGAUGACUCGGCGACGCGGCCAUCUGCGUUACCCGGCGUGCCCCGCGCGGCGCCGGCGGAGGGACGUGGGGGGAGGGGCGGGGGGAGGAAGCGGCUGCGGCUGCGGCUGCGGCUGUCGCUGCGAACCAGCGGCGUCUGAACACUGCGCUGCUACGGAGCGCCGAAUCCGGGCCUGCACCUGGAGCCCACACCGAGCUCCGCGGCCCCUUGGCGGCCCGGCGCCGUUGCCACCUAGGCGGCGUGCCCUGCGUUCUCCGCUGCCCGGGCCAGUCGGCUCUGGCGUCUCCUGGCUCCCCCUUGCUCUCCCGCUCCCUCCUGCUCGCCUGAGUCACCGACGCCGCCGCCGCCAUGGCCGAGAGUAGUGAAAGCGGCGGUCCUCCGGGCUCCCAGGACAGCGCUGCCGCGGCUGAGGGUGCCGGCGUCCCCGCGGCCGCUGCCUCUACGGAGCCCAAGAUCAUGAAAGUCACCGUAAAGACCCCGAAAGAGAAGGAGGAGUUCGCUGUGCCCGAGAACAGCUCGGUCCAGCAGGUGAGGCCGCCUGGGGCCCGGGCCGGGGUGGGGGUGGCCGCAAGAUCUCCGCCCGCGAUCGGAGGAGACGGUUUUGGAAGGGCCUGGGAGAGGGUCGUCCGCGGAUGUGCCCUCGGCCAUUCUGGAUCUCAUCUCACAUUAGAAAUUGCUCAAGUUCGCGGGUUUGCUCCUUUGGACUCCGCAGAGGUUUGUGGCGGGGCUGUGCGGCCUGCUUGUGGGACGCGCCGCCGUCGCCGCCGCUUGGCUCUCCAAGGUCCUCUUCUAAGCCUUCGAUUUAGAAAGAAAAUAAUCUAUUUUUCAUAUUUCUAAGUGAAAUUCUCAGGGGAUUGUAGAUAAAUUGUGCACUAUAGCUGUCAGCAACACAUGUUAUAUAAAACCCCAGGAAAUGUUCUUUAUUUCACAUGUCAGUUGGUUUUGUCUUGAAUAAGCUGAUCUCUAACAGCAGGUAAUUGUUUUUCUUCUUUGACUGCCUCUAGCAAUGCAUUCUCUCUCUUCUUUCUAUGUACAAAUCCACUCCCUCCACAAACCCACAUGCUCGCAUACAUUUCUCCUGCAAGAUAGGAAGAAUGCUUCUCAGGACAUUCUUUUCAUAAACUGGAGGAAUAAGGCAAAACAUAUUUCAGACAAAAUACUUGAAGGAUAUGUUCUGAAUAAUUAAUAUUAAAAAAUAAAAUGGAGGUUUUUAGACAGAGGACUCCAUGCCAACUCAAGUUUAGGAUGAACCAUGUAUCAAGUCAUGAAUUGUGGAUUCUCGCUUCCCAUAGGUAUAAAAGGUCAGGAACAAAAUUCACCUAAUUGUGUAACUCAAAAUCAUUUAUGAGUGAAUGAGCAAAUAAAAAUUAAGGAAGGAAAAUAUGCAAAUGCACAGAAAAUAAAUUCUUGUUGAAAUUAGAGAACUGACUUUUAACAUGAGGUUCUACAUAAUGAUCCACACAAUAGCUAGAAUUUCUUGAAGCAUACUUAAUGAACAGGAAACACAGCAGUCACUUGCAUCAGCAUUUUCAGGAGAAUCUGUUUCCUUAUCUUAUGGACCAUUUGAUUGUAUUUAGGGCUGCUCUAGGACCCUGGCAUCAAAUAUCUGAAAAUGAAGAAAUGUGAGGUAAUUGGGUGGGUUUUCUUUUCCCAGUCAGAUUUUUACAUUUACUUAGAGAAAUGAUACAGCUUAUUCCAUUGAGUAAAAGUCUUUAUAAUAGAGCAUCAGGGCAUUUAACUUAUCAUUUUUAAAAAAAAAUUAAAUUAGAAAAAUAGCAAAUAGCUGAAGUUCAUAUAGUACUUUCUACAUGUUAUACUGGAAUUCAAACAUUCUAUUCAAUUUAAUUUACUUAAUCAGCAAUUUAUUCAUCAUUUUGACCCCCAGUUUAUGUAAACUGAAACACAAUGUUUCACAAUGAUUUGAUUGUGGGCAGUCUGGUUCCAAAGUCCAGGAUGUUACUGUUGGCUAAUUUAUAUGCGUGCUAGAUCUAAUUAGUUUACUGUGUUUUUAUGUACCCUCUUUUCUUAUUUAUCUUCUUUUUGAUGGUUAUAUUCAUUAUUGAAACAGGGGUAUUGAAGUCUUCAAAUAUUAUUAUAGAACUGGAUAUUUAUUCAAUUCUGUCAGUUUUAGCUUCAUAUAUUUUGAUGACAUGUUAUUAAGUAUAUAAAUGUUUAUAAUUUUUAUAUCUUCUUGUUGCAUUGAGACUUUUAUUAAUAAAUAUGCCUUUUUUUGUCUCAUAGAUUUUUUGAUCUUAAAUCUAGUCUGUGUGAUAUUAGUAUAGCCAUUCCUAUUUGCUUUCAGUUACUGUUUGUAUGGAACAUAUAUAUUCAACUUUUCAUUUUCAAUCUAAUUGUGUCUUACAAUCUAAAAUGAGUCUCUUAUAGAGAGUAUAUAGUUGGAUCGUGGUUUUAUUUAUUUAUUUAUUUUUUGGUCCAUUUUGUUGACCUACAUUUAUUAUUCUGAGAGCUUAAUCCAUUUACCUUUAGACUAAUUAUGAUAAAGAGGGACUUACUGUGUCAUUCUGAUUUUUAAUUUCUCUGUGCAUUCUAGCCUCUUUUAUCCUUCAUUUACAUUUACUGUCUUCUUUUGUGUCUAGUUGAUUUUUUUUUGUAGUGAAACAUUUGAAUUCUUUUCUUAUUUCAUUUUGUAUAUUAUUUAUAUAUUAUUCAUAUAUUUUCUUCAUUGUUACCAUGGGGAAUAUACUUCAUAUCCUAAAGUUAUGAGACUAUAAUUUGAGUUUAUACCAGUUUGGCUUUAAUAGCACACAAAAAUAUCUUCUCUAAUGCCUUUGUCCUCACCCUUUUUGAUUGUUAUUGUUACAGAAUUACAAAUUUAAACAAUGUGUGCCUCCAAACAAAUAAGUAUUUUUAAAUUUCAUUGUUCUCGAUUAUGUAAAAAACAAAAUAUGGAGUUACAAACCAAAGUUACAAUAAUACUAAAUUAAUUUAUUUUUUAAAUUAAUCUCUUAAAACAAGAAGAAAGAACAAGAAGAAAUACAAAUUAUUGUUCCAAUAAUACUAGAUUUUAUAAUACAGAAUCUUAUUAAGAUAUUUAUUUCUUCAUUCAGCAUUAAGUCACUCUUUGGUGUCCUUUCAUCUUAUCCUGUUCUCCCUUAUUAUUUAUUGCAGAGCAGAUCUAAAGGUAACACACUCAUUUUCUUUUGUUUGAGUAUUUAUAAUUUCUCUGUAGCUUUUAGGGGUAGUUUUCCCACAGGUAGUAUUCUAUGUUGACUAGUUGAUAUUAUUUCUGUUUUUUUUUUUUUUUCUUUUAGCACUUUAGAUAUAUUGGCUUACUACCUUCUGGUCCUGAAAGUUUCUGAUGAGAAAUAAGUUGACUGUUUUAUUAUGGAUCCCUUGUGUGUGAUAAGUUUGCUUCUCUCUUGUUGCUUUAAAUAUUCUCUUUUUAUCUUUGGCUUUUAGAAGAAGUUUGAUUAUAGAGACCUUUAUUAUGGGUCUUUGUAAAGAAACACAUAUAGAGGAAUACCUGUGAGGAGGCACAUGAAGAACAGAUACAGAUACACAAAGUUCAAGCAGACAGACAGGAGGAGUGGAGAGGAUUGAAAUGAAGUGGUGAAGAAGAAGUACAGAAGAAGUACAAAGUGAAGUGUCCUCCCCUACCUGUGAGUUUAUUAACUAAAAGAACACAUACCUCCGUUACCAUGACUGUAUUCUAAUUAGUAUGUCUUUAACCUGUGUACUAGCUAACUGAGAUAAAGUCCAGGUUAGAAGUAACACAGGGCUCCUACCUACCAAGGGCAUAUCCAAGGAAACCAGAUAGUGUCUGCAUAGUUGGCUCCCUAGCUCAGAGGGAGGAGGCUGGGCAUCCUAGGUCUGGGAAGCAGGGAAACUUGUGAAGGACAAUGCUAUGGCAGCCAGGCAUCCUGUGCUUUUGCACAGGAGUUUCCCAGUCACCAGGUAUUACCUAGCAGCCAGGAAUUCUGUAUCUUUGCACAGAAACUUCCUAGUCACCAAGCAUGUCACAAUCACAAAGUUUGUAGACCCCAAUUAUAAGCACAGAAUUCCUACAGGUCUUUUUGUGUUCCUCUUACUUGGAGUUCAUUGAGCUUCUUGGAUAUUUAUAUUGAUAUCUUUUAUUUACUUUGGAAAGUUUUCAACCUUUAUUGCUUUAAAAAUUCUCUAUGACCCUUUGUCUCUUCUCCUACUGCUCACACAAUGCCUAUGGUAUUCUGCUUUAAAGUGUCUCACAAGUUCCUUAGGCUUUGUUCACUUUUUUAUUUUUAUUUUUUCUGUUCCUCAUGCACAAUAAUUUCUAUUGCCCUAACUUCAAGUUUGCUAAUUAUUUCUUUUACCUUCUGAAAUUGGCCUUUGAAUUCUUUUUUUUUUCAUUUCAGUUAUUAAACUUGCCAGCUCUUGAAUUUCUUGUACUUAUUGAUAUUCUUAUUUUUCUCUAUCACAUUGAUUGCUUAACUUCCUGCACAUAAUUAAUUGAGCAUCUUUAGAAUAGUUGUUUAAAAUUUAUUUGUUUAGUAGAUCUAUCAUGAGGUCUUUCUCAGGGGCUAUGCUUUCCUCUUUUUUUUAAUGUGAUAUUUUUUGAAAAACUGUACACGGAAUCUCUUUUCGUUUUCAUAAUAUGCACCCUACCAUGUGUAUAGUGAUUUCUCACUGCUGUUUAGAUUUUCAUUUUCCUGAUAAUUUGUGUUGUUGCACACCUUUUUAUAUACUUAUUAGCCAUUUGUACAUCUUCUCUAUAGACGUAUCUAUUCAAAUUCUUUGCUUGUGUUUUAAAUCAUAUCAUCUGGCAUUUGUUUGUUUGUUUAUUUGACUAUUAGAGAAUAUGAAGUCCUUAUAUAUUUUGGACAUUGACCUUUUGUCAGAUACAUGGUUUACAUGUACAUUCUUCCUUUCCAGGCUUUGCUUUUUCAUUUUGCUGAUUGUUUCCUUUGCUUUGCCAAAGCUUUUCACUUUGGUAUAUCCCCAUCUAGUUAUUUUUGCUUUUGUUGUCUGUACUUUCAGAGCCAUUUCCAAGUCUAAUUAACCUAUUUCCUAUGAUUUAUUCAAGUUUUAUGAUUUUUGGUUUUAAAUUAUGUCUUCGAUUCAUUUUGAAUUAAUUUUUGUUAGUUGCACACGAUAAGGUUCUACAUCAGGUAGUGUUGUCAUGCACUAGUUGACUGUAUAUGCAUGAGUUUCUUUUUUUAUAAGCACUCGAUUCUGCUUCAUUGGUUUAUGUGUCUGUUUUUAUACGAGUAUCAUAUUGUACUGAUUACUGUAGCAUUUGUAUGACAGUUUGUAAUUAGAAAAUGUGGGGGCUGGGGAUGUGGCUCAAGCGGUAAAACGCUCGCCUGGCAUGUGCAGGGCAGUGGGUUCAAUCCUCAGCACCACAUAAAAUAAAAUAAAGAUGUUGUGUCCACCAAAAACUACAAAAUAAAUAUUAAAAAUUCUCUCUCUCUCUCUCUCUCUCUCUCCUCUCUCUCUCUUAAAAAAAAAAAAGAAAAUGUGAUACUUUCAGGUUUGUUCUUAUUUUUCAAUACUGAAUUAUUUAUUUCAGGACUUUUGUAGUGCCAUAUAAAUUUUAGAAUUUUUUUUCUAUUUCUGUGAAAAAAAUGUCAUUGAAAUUUCAAAAAGGGUUAUAUUGAAUUUAUAGAUAGCUUUGGGUUGUAUGGAUAUUUUAACAAUAUUAAUUUUUCUAGCCCAUGAACUUGAGGUAUUAUUCCAUUUGUUUAUGUCUGUUUAAAUUUUUUUCAUCAGUCUUAGUUUCCAGUAUACAGAUCAUUCACCUCAUUGGUUAGAUUUUUCAUAAGUAUUUUAUUAUUUUUGACAUUAUAGUAAAUGGAAUUGUUUUCUUUCUUUUUAGAUAUUUAAUUGUUAGUGUAUAGAAAGAUGACUGAUUUUUGGACUUUGUACAUCACUGCCUCAGCAUCUUAUCAACCUAGCUGGACCAGUAAUGUUAAAUGGAAAAUGGAAAAUUAAUGACUUGUUCCCCAAAGCAAAGCAAGAGAAUGUAUUUCCUAUGCUGGGAAAUUUACCCAGAAGAUUCUCUUGGGACUCUGACAUUUAAAAAUAAGCAAAUGCUUUAGCACUAAUCCUAUGUCACAAAAUACCCUCCUCAGCAGCUGCAUGCAUGUUAAACUUGCAGCUAUAGGGAAUAUUUGCAAAAAAAAUGAAAAGAGCUCAUUAUUAUUUUUAGCUGAGAAAUGACUAUCAUCAGGGAGAUAAAUCAUUCCUCAGUGAAGGAAACCUCAAUUACACUUCAUAGAUUUAUAUGUCAUUUAGAUAUAGGGCAGAUAAACCUGCUGGGAUAUCUGGAGAAAUGAUCCUUGGUUUGAGGAAGUUUUGUUGCUCCCAAAGAAAGCUUUGAAAUACAUAGUGCUAACCAGACUGUGAAAGUUCCUUGCAGAAUUGUUUUGUCAAAUUGAAGAAAUGUUUAUCAUAGAGGUAUAAAAUUGGAGAUACCUUAAAUUAGCUAAAUAACUCAUAUGCUUAAAAAUUACUUUAAUGGGAAUAUAAGACAUACAAAAUCAGAUUUUGACAUGAGAUGGAAUCAAAAUUAUAGUGGUUGAGAUAAACAUAAGAAAAUAAACCAAUUUAUUCUGAAAAGGAAGUGUGCAUAAUACUUAAGCAAUAUAAGAGUAGAUAGCUCUAGGUUCAAUGUUUGGAUUACAAGACCUUCCAUAGAAGGUUAGUGAAGAUUUUGCCUCCUAAUGCCUCUAUCUCUACAGAGUUACCUUCUGGGUAGAGGUAACUAUCUUGUUAUCAAGAUCAAGGAACUUCAUCACUGGAAACAAAUUCACUGAACUCUGAAAUUCUUCCCUUUUGAAACUUAUUAAUAUAAUUGUUCUUGAGAGAUUGAGGUUAAUUUGGAGAAAAGGGACAUGUGUGAUCUGCAUAGGAGAUUUCCUAUGAGGUAGGGGAAUUGGCCUUAUUGAUAAUUUCAACAUUAGGCCAAGAGGAUUGUGGGGUAGCUGGAUGUGAAAUAGUGUGUAACUGAAUGGGCAGAAGUACUCUAGGAAUAGCUGAGAGUCAUAUAUACAAAUGAGUAGUGACAAUGAAUACUGAAGCAUGGGAUUCUUUCUUGUCCAGUAGAGGAAUCUGGGUCUGUCAGGUGUGAUUGCAAUGGUGAAAAAGGAAAGAACAAAUUUUAUGGAAUGAGUUUUUAAUAGUUCUGGGGUAGGAAGAUGUCCGUUAGAGAAGGAGACAGGGAGGGAUAUAACUCCAAAAUCUGCUUUCCCAAAUAGACUGGAGGAAGGUGAGGUUUGAAGAGAGGUGUUUUGGAGACUGUGUAUGUGUGUGUGUGUGGAGAGAGAGAGAGAGAGGGAGAGAGAGAGAGAGAGAGAGAGAGAGAGAGAGAGAGAGAGAAAACCUAUCUAUUUGCUGCAAAAGUGAAAAGCAGGUUACUCACUCGAGACAGAGAUUCAACCAAGAGAUUUUAUUGGGGAGCUGCUGCCCGAAGGGUAAGAAAAGAAAAGGAAGAGAGCAGAAAAAGGGAGAAAGAGAGCAGAGAGUGUGAACUUGCAAGCUUCAGCUUAAGAAGGGUUCUGUAGGAGACAGGGCGUGUGCUGAUUGGCAGCGUGACUCAGGAACUGGAGAGCAGACACUGUGUCUCCAGGGAUUGAUUUAGAAAAUUUUUGACUUUGGUGCCCUUUGGCAUGGUGCCCUUAGGAGAGGAAGGGGAGGGGUAAGAGAUAAUGGUGAUGUUCUUCUCACGAGAUGGAAACUUAACUUCAGCAGGGAGAAACUCAAUGGGGGAAAUAAAACCAAAAGGCAAGGUCUCCCACAUACCCAACAAAAAGUAUUUAUUGGGUCCCAAAUGAUGUUACAGGGAUGUUCUUAAUGGCUAAUGAGACAGGGCUGAAUAACAGAAGACAUGAUGAUCCUUUGCACAUGUGUUCACACUAAAUGCUGCUUUAUAAUUCACUUUCAAUGUCUGACAUACAUAACAUCACAUUUUAUGAAUGAUGAGACCAUCCCAAGUAAAGGUUAAUGGCAAGGAAGAAAGGAGGGGAAUAAAACUGGAAUCUCCUAAUCAAAAUUCAGUGUUCUAAUUUAAUUUCCAAAAUUAUACAGAUCUAAUAAGGUUAUUGGAGUUUUUGAUCCCACAAAGGGUACCCUGUUAUAAUUAGAAUAGAUUCCAAAAUGUAUAAAAAUGAUUAGCACGCUCUGGUCUCUGGCAAACACUCUAAGUUCUAACACUCUAACACUUUGCCAUCUCUCCCUCCUUUCACUGACCUUCAUUAAUUCCUCAAACAUAGAGUCCUUAAGUAUACUAUACUCCAUGAUAAUACUUGGCACACUAUCCAUUUUAUUAUUAACUAGUAGAAAUUAUUUAAUAACUGGCUUCUGAUCUGGACUCUAAGCCCUGUGUUGAUAAUUCUCCUUCUAUAUUGCUUAUUUGGUCUAUUCUCAAUGCUUUGCCCAGUGUCUGGCACAUACAAGUGCUUAUUCCAUGUCUUUUAGUUCACUCCAAAUAAGAAAAUUAUCUUUCUUUGACUUUGUGGGAAAUUAUCUUGCUAUGACCUUGUUCCUAUGCUUUUUGUCUGAUAUUGGGUAGAUUAUAUCCUCCUUCUUUGCUCAGCCUGUGUAACUUUGGCCCAUUCUUACAAAUCCAAUUUAAGACUCUCUCAGACAAUUGUUUCUGCCUCUUCUGAUCUUUUCACACAUUUACUGUGAUAAUGAAGCAGUCAACAUUUGAUUACAUUCAUUCUUUCUUUUUAUAAAACAGUGUAUAUCUCAUGGAUUUUUCUUUCUAUACAAUAUUUUAAAAGAAAUUCUGCAAGUCUUUUCCCCCAUUAUUAUUAUUAUUAUUUUUAGAGCUGUGAACCUUCUGGGCAUCUUCAAGGUGAUGAAUAACAACUAGCUGACAUUGAUUUGGAAGAUGCUCCAGAAUAGAGAGCAGUUAGGAGACAAAGGUUUCUGAUAGAGUACAGGUCUGGAGCUGAUCAAAGAGAGGGCAUAGGGGAGACAGACUUAUUAUUAUUUUUUUAGGAGGCUGAAUGUCAGAGAUUGUAGUGAACAUUUCAAAGCAUAUCAGAGAAAAUAACAGGGUAGAUAUUUGUCUCUCAGGAUGCAUCCAUGAGAAAUGUACUGAAAAAGUCCACUUGAAAACUAACAGGAAAGUCAAGGUUAAUAGGAGAAACAUUGAAUGCCCAACAAUAUCCACAGAGGUUUUAAUUUAACAUUAUAUGAAAAAGCUACACAGAAAGUGAAGUAAAUACAUUGGAAUUUAAAUCACUUACCAUAAUCUGUGUAUUGGGCCCUUUUAUUAAAAUAUUUUUAUAAUUUUCAAACAUUGAAUUUAAUCAACUCAACAAUACAAAAGUUGGCAAUCUGACAGAAAGAUAAUAACUGAAUAGACUUUCGUUUUCAACAUGAAUAGAACUUGUGGACUGAGGAAAACUAUUUUCCCCCUAUUCAUUCCAUGUCAUAAAUCUAUAGAAUUGAAUAACCUUGUUUUGAAAAUCCUAUUCAGACAGGGAACAGGGGUCUCUUAAUCUCAAAAUCCUAUGUACCAACUUGUAUUGCACUGAUAGGUUUGCUCUUUUUCUUAUUGAACUGUAAAUUCCUAGGGUCCAGAGAUUUUCUUUUUUUUUCAUGCCCCUAAGUGUCUGGUUUAUGCAAGGCACUUUUUAAAAGUAAAAGGUUAAAGAAGAUGUAGCAGAUGAUGUUGUUGUGAGCAAAAAUAGUUUCAAAAUUAUAUUUGGCAAAAUAUGGAAAACUUUCCUUCAACCACAAAGCAGGAAAAUGAUUUUUAAAACAGACUUGACCUAUUUAGGGACAAAGAUGCUGAAACCCCUUUUUCCAGAAUCUGCAUUCUAGAGUUUCUGAACUUCCCUUGUUUAUUUCAGCUUGGGAUAAGGCACAAUAAGGCUGCUGUUAUAGAAUCAAUAUGAUGUCUGAAAUAAGAGUAGUGAACAAAAUAUUAAUAAUAGAUACAUGAAUUAGUAUAUCCAAUAUGCCAAGUCAGACUAGUUGAAACACAGGGACCUUUUUUUUUAUCCCCACUGGGACUUGAACCCAGGGCCUUAUGUAUAUUACGCAAGUACUCUACCAUUGGGCUACAUUCCCAGUCCCAGGGACAUAAGUUUUGACAAGAGGGCAAAGAAGUAAUUAUGACCUUUGUUUGUUCUCAAAGAGGGAAAUGUUUGUGACCACAAGGUUAGAAAACAGGAAUAGAGGUAGAAAAGCCCAAACUACACAGUUUACAGUUGGAAGUGGACUCACCAGUUAGUUUCAUCCAGUGGUGUGACUAAGGAAACUGCAGUGAUACGGGAAUUACAGAAAUGAGAAAAAUGAAUGAUAAUUCUCUCAGAGAAAUGUCCCUGUAGAAGUAUAAGAAUAGAUCGUAUCUCCCUAAGAGUUACUUAGCUUGUUAUUUUGACAUCUUUAUACCUGUUUAUGAGCUACUACUAGACCAGGUACAUAAAGCAAUUAAAAUAAGUUUUGAGGCUGGACAGAAGCAAGGGACACGUGGAUAUGGUCAAGCUUGGCCUCUUCAUAGUUUUAUUUUUUUUUUCCCUCUCAGAUCUCAACUCCAAACAAAAAUUUACACUUUUUGAAUUUGAUUCUUUUAUAAUGUAGAUGACUCCAUGGAUCAAUUAUACUGUACUUAUAAAAUAUAUAUUCUCAAAAAUAUUGGAUGGGCUUGUGAAACCCUGGGAAUUUAGAAUGGGUAUAGAGCAAAGACUUCCUUUACUUCUUCACUGAUGCUGGUUCAUGUGGUCAGAAUUUUAUAAAUGGUACCACAAAUGUAUCUUUGCCCAGUCCUAGAACCUGUGAAGAAAAUGAGUUAUUAUGCUUGUGGUUAUAUUAUUGUACAUGACAAAAGAGAAUUCCUAGAUGUGAUAAGGUUACUGUUAAUCAACUGCCCCUUACACUGAGAAUAUUGUGCUGGAUUAUUCAUGUGGAUCUGGUGCAAUCACAAGAGGCAUUAUAAAUAAAGCUCCUUCUCCUGCCAGUAGACAUAGCAGGAAUAAAAAAGGGGAGGUCAGAGAAAUUUGAAGCAUGAAAAAGACACUGUUGAUGAGUUGAAGAUGUGAUCACAAGAUGGAAUGCCAGCAGCUUUGAGAGACAGCAGACACUGACACAGACUUACAGGUGCAAAGGAACUAGAUUGUGACAGUCACCAAAGGAGCUCAGAUGCAGAUUCUUCCUGUAAACCUCCAGAUAAAUAAGCCUAAUAAGCCAGUGUCUGGGUUUCAGUAUUGUAAGCUCCUGCACUGAGAACUCAGUCCAGUCUACCUAGACUUCUGACCAACAGAACUGUUAGAUAAUUAAUGGGUGCUAUUUUAAGAUAAUAGAUUUAAAGUAAUUCAUUAUACAUCAAUAGAAAACUAAUAAAGCUACACACUGACAUGUUUAUGGAUGAAAUUAUUCUAAUUUGUGUCAAAUUAAUCCAGUGUAGAAGCAUGAAAAUGGGGGUAAGCAAAACUAUAGUUAAAUAUAUUUAAAAUAAUCUGUAGUUAAAAUAUUAUAAAAAGCUAGAAUGUGUGCUUGAAACAGUUUUACAGAGGAACUAGUAAAAAAUGAGUUCUACAACUCUUUGAUAGUCUACAUCCACCUUGAGACUUUAAAAGGGUAAAUCAAGAAAAUUUGUGUCAAUCUAAGAUGAAUUUUUGCCCCUGUGCUCAAGUGGAGGGAUGGUAUGGCAGGUGUUCCCUCAUUCAUUUCAAGACUAGAGAAUCUUUUUUUCAACAAAACUGUUUGGAACAGCAAAGUUUCUCAACAAUUGAGUGACAUCAUGACAUGAUGUCACAGACAACUAAAGUACAUGUGAAAGUAAUCUGUGUUGGGGAUAGGGAAAGGGGGAGUGGGGAGUUGCAUUUUGAAUAGACUCCCACCAUAAGAGGAGCAGUGAAAUAUUUCCAUGGACUAGAGAUAGUGUAACAUGUAGAGUGAAUGGAUGAGUUCUUUGUCUCCUAAAUUUGAGGAAUGAAAUCUAUGGAUACAAGGAUGAGAGCAUAUUAACAGGAUUUACAGAAAGAAAUAAGAGCUCCUGAAGAGGGAGUGUCCCUAAGGAGAGAUGUCCACAGGUGUCUGUUGUCUAGGGGUUUUUAUGUUCUUUAUCUGUCCCUAUAGACUGGUGGUGACUAUGUUAAUGGGGGAUGCUAGCAUGGACCAAUUAAACUCUCUAAGUUCUGAGUUUAAUAAGCCAGUCAGAAGUUUAUAAUAUCCCUUAUUUAUAUAAUUAAGAGAACAGGUCUAAAGUUGGGCAAAGUGGCACACACCUAUAAUCCUAGCGGCUCUGGAAGCUAAGAUGGGAGGAGAGCAAGUUCAAAGCCAGCCUCAGAAAAAAUGAGGUGCUAAGGAACACAGUGAGACUCUGUCUCUAAAUAAAAUACAAAAUAGGGCUGGGGAUGUGGCUCAGUGGUUGAGUGCCCCUGUGUUGAAUUCCCAGUAAGAAUGGAUCUAAUCUUGUGGUUUGGCAUAUCUGUGAAGGCAAGGAAGUGCUUCAGGAGUUGAUUUGGUGGACAGUCUUUGCUAGGGGUAGGCAUGGGGUAACUAAGGAAAAGCUACUGUAGUUGAAGCUGUUAGGAACAAUAAUAGGUGCUAAGGAACCAUUGCAGAUGAAGCUCUUGGGGGCACCAAGUAACAGAAUGUUCUACAGACCAUCUCUUUCUAGAAUGGCAUGUUAUUCUCCUCCCCUCCUUCCCUUCCGCAAGGCCUUAUCCUAUCUGCCUAUGGGAGGUCUACCUUUCUGCCUCAUUAGCUCAAUAGAUUGCAUGCAAAGAAAUCAGGUGUGACAUUGUCUUAGAUCAUAUUUGUAGUUUUUUUACGGAAGGUAAUGAUGGUGCACUCUGAACUUUUUUGGAGGGAACUAAGUGACCUCUGGGAAAGAAGGCAGUGGUGACAUUCUUUGAGUGACCUACAGGAACACCCCCAUGAGGAAAGUCAUGAUAUUGAAAGAUUUUACCUUGUGGUAAGAUUUCCCUGUCCCUGAUCAUUUUUCAUUUUUUAACAAUUCCUAGAGGGAUCAGAAACCUUUGUAAGUAUGUGGGUGUGAGGGAAACAGCAGAAAAGAUGAGCAAGAAAGAAUGUAGUUUUUCUCUGUUCAUGGCCCUGCUUCAGCUGGGAAUAAGGGAGUUCAUUUAAGACAAAACAAGUUCGGUAUGUGAUUAUUACACAGAGUUUUACUUUCUGAUUGGAAGAUGGAGACUGUCUCUUAUAGUGAUGGUAAUAUUGUCAAAAUAGAAUAUGAUCACAUCUGUAGACAGCCUGUUCAUUCCCUUACUUAUUGCUUCCCAGAAUAAAUUGAUGAUGUUGGAGAUGGUUCAUUACAUGGGACUCGGGGGGCCGAAGGUGGAGCAGUACUUACCAUCCAUGCCCUCCUGGAGUCUCUGAACUGUAAAAUGUUAUGAUACACAAAUACAGGAAGUGAUGAAGUGGAGAGCCAGCACUGGCAGUGAAGAGCUGAGACUUUGUUCCUGGAGCAUAAAACAUACACAACUUUCUUUGCAUUUCUCCAUCCCAUCAGUUCCUGCUUUAUUCUCACCUGGGGUACUAAAAUAAUCUUGAAGUUGGUGUCCUUUCCCCAGGACAUCUACUGUCUCUCAAUCUCUUUCGCAUACUGCUCCAAAUGAUAUUUAUAAAACUGAAUUUUGUUCAUAUCAAUUCUCUUAUUAAAAUCUCUCACUGGUUCUUUACAACCCAUGGGAUUAAAUCCAAUCAUGAAGAUAAAUACAUCCUUCUAGAUCUGUUAUCUUCCUCCCUUUUUGGUUUCCAUUUCAUAUGAUCUAGAUAGUCUAAUAAGUCAUUGGAUAUUUAGAGACUAUUUCAAACUCAUAAUAAAAGUGACAAAAGAGCUUCCAAAGUACACAUUUCCAAAGUUUUAGAAUUUUUUGUGUAUCAGUCAAAUGAAUUUUUAUUACUAGGUACACUGUGCUGUGAAUUCUUGAAGAUAAAAGUUAUGUUGUAUCCUAUUCCCUGCUAUAUAUCUAAGCACAAAUGCAUAUUUUACAGAAAGAAAAAGAGAAAGCGAGCUCGUUAAUGUAAAACUACAUUAAUAGUGCAUAUAGAACAACUUAGAAGGCUCCCAGAAAGUGCAUUUUUAGUUAAAUAAAACUUCAGAGAAAAACGCUUUGUUUGAACCCCUACUGCAAAGAAUGCUUUCCAGACACCUUGUUGCUUAUUUCUUCAAGUAUGGCCCACCAGUCAUAAUUGAAUUUUUCUUAGUUGAAUACUUGAACAGUCCUUUUAGUCCCCAUUCUAUAUAAAGUUUUUUUGAGUUUGAUGUGAAUUGAGCUGAAAAAAAUAACAAAAGGAUAUGAUUAUGAUUUUAUUUAAAAAAUAAAUGCUCAUGAUUACCGUAGUUUCCCAUGAUUUACUUCUGUUUGUUGAAGUCCAAAUUCUGGUGGAUAUCAAUAAGUAUAAUGUAAAAUAUACAUUAUAAGUAAUUUGUACUCACUGGUUUAGUUGCAUUUUUAGAAAGACAGUUAAGGAAGUAAAUGUCCCAUUAGCAGUUCUCAAUCGGCUGUUAACUUGCUUAUGUGAUGAUAGAAAAAUGAAGAAAAAAAUACUGAGGACUUUAUGUAAACAUGUGCAUACUAAAAUUAAUGUAUUAAAUUAACUUAAACUCCCUUUGCACCUAAAAUAAUAAACACAAACAGGAAUUCUUUUAUUUUUUUAGUUCCUGGUACAUUACAGGCACUGUAGAAAUAUUUCUUAAUUUAAGCCUCUUACAAAUCUUUAACAUUGGCAUUGAUUCCUUUUGGAUAUAAGAAAACUGCAGUUUGAAAUCAGAGAUUCCCAAAAGUUCUCAUCACAGUGCUCUUGGUCAUCCUUAUUCUUUUUAUGACUGUUAGAUCAAAAUAAAUGCCCAAGUUUCAGUUAUUAAAUGGAGAUAGAGCCAAACAACUCAAGUGUUGAUAGGUCGCCAGUGAAGACAAAGAUGAAACCAAACUACAGUUUCUUCGAUAGUUAUCACAACAAACUGUAUAAACUGAUGCAUCAAGGAAUAAUAACUCAACAAGUAAUGCUCAUUCAAGGAGUCGAUUUAUUUUGGGAGGAAAUGGACAUAUUGAUAGAUUCCUCCACUUUGAACUGCUUGCAGAACUUGCCUGGACUAUGUAUUACUUAUAUGCAUUGUGAUCUAUCUGUUGAUGCAGCGAAUUAUGGUAAUGCUGGUGUAUCUUUGCUGAUGUGUCACCAGUGAUGCAAUUUUUCCUAAGGAGCCGUCAAUUGGCUUGGUGUCGUGGCAUUUCUGUAUCCUCCUCCCUUCUACUAGUGAUGGUCUAAUUUGGGGGCCAACAGAGUUGAGGCAAAGAACCUCACUCCCCCACCGGCACCAAGGCCAAAUUUGGGGGCCAAAAGAUGUGAGGCAAAGAACCUCACCCCCCCACUGGUGCAUAGGCCUAUCCACAAGUAUGGCUAUAUGCUGGACUGGUAGUCAGUGACGGGUAUGAUCCAAUUGCAGUGGUAUCAACCUAAGACAGGAGGCUGACGCCUAGAGGUCAGUUCAUCCCAUGACGGGUAAGAACCAUAUGUUGAAUUGGACAAACCUAACAGGCAUGGUCCCUAGCCACAUUGCUUGUUGCUUAAUUAAACAGAAGGGGGGAGAUGCUAAGAGCCACAGCCAAGUAAUAUGAUGAAUGACAUUUUUGGUUGAAAGGUGACGCCAGCAAGCCAUUGAGAUGAUAUGAUUAUGUUAAGAUCUGCAUUCAUAUGGAUAUUGGACUCCUGCUGUCCACCUCGGCCUGCUACAGGACUCCUGGAGAGUUCCCAUUGGUUGGGGAAGUGCAGUAGGAGGGAAUUCGGAGGAGGGACUUCCUGAGGGGGUCCAGGAGAAUGCUGCGUGGGUCAGUCGGCAAUCUUCCCGGGAGCUUACAGGGCAUUGGCGGCAGUUUCAAAAAUAAAGUUUGUUCCUGCUUGAGUGGCUCAUGAUUUUGUGCCCAGCCAGACUGUGGCAAUUGGACACAGUCAUUUCAUUGCCUGUUCUAUAGUGAUCUUCACAUAGUACUUUUUUUCUUAAACUUUUUUUAUUUACCACAUACACAGCUUCAGGAAAAAUACAUCAUAGGAAGAAAGAGUGUGGGAUCUAAUGUAAAACUGAGUAGACUAAAGCUAGUCAUUGUCCUGAUUCUGGCAGUUUUCGAGUAUGACUGUUUUCUUUGAGAAAUAAAAGUACCCUGGGGUUCUCAUCUGCAGAACCUCAAUGUUAUGAGUCAGGCUAUAAAGUCAAUGACCAAACAGACUUGAUUUUACCCUGAGACUCCAUGUCAUGUAAGAAAUGCUUCUUCUUUGGGAACAUCCUUCCUCUGUACACCCAUCAACAGUUGCUUAGCAUAGCAUGUUUGGCAACACAAAAUGGCAAUUCUUUAUUAUUAUUAUUAUUAUUUUUUAGUUGUUGAUGGACAUUUAUUAUUUAUUUAUUUAUAUGCAGUGCUGAGAAUCAAACCUAGUACCUCACGCACGCUAGGCAAGUGCUCUACCACUGAGCCAAGACUCCAGCCCCCAACUGGCAAUUAUUAUACAAUGUAAAAUUGUUGUCUUUUUGGUUCCCAUUUUUCUUGGACAAUGUACCCCAACUGUACCCUAACAGCAUAGAAUAUUAAUGUUUGUCUAGAUGUUUGUAACCAUUCUUUGACUUGUACUCAACUAGGAUAGUUUUGAUCCACUCUCCUUCUGCUUAUAAUUUUAGACCUCAUGAUUUUUGUUUAUGGUUUUAAAUCAUAGCAACAGCCACUUAAGAUCAAUAUACUGACAUGCAUUAAAAGGUGUGCUCUAACCCUUCAAGGGUGUCAUAUGGUGGAGACUUGCAGCCUGCUCCUUGGCCCGCCAGCUGGUGAAUGUGGACCACCAGCUGGUGAAAAAAGAUGGUUCCAACUCAGGCUUCAAGACUGAGCUGGUGAUUUAUUGCAAUCUUGCCAUAACAUCAACACUCUUUUAACUGUGUAGCAAAGUAACUUGUUUAAGACCACAUUGGCAGAAAGUAUAAAUCUGCAAUUUGAAUUCAAUUAUCUGUGACCCCAAAACAGUUUUGGGCUACUGAAAUUUCCUGGGGACUUACUGAGAGAUAAGAAGUCUCCAGGAUCACUGGAUAUCCCUAGCUUAUUAUGAUAUUAGCAUUUUCAGCUAAUAAACAGCCUUAAAUUUUGCCUAGGUGAUCCUCUAGUUACUCAAAUCUUUAUUAACUACUGUGGGGUCUAUGAGGAAAUAUUUUUAAAAUCCUCUAUUUUCCAGCAGUUUAUGUUUUCUAGUUGGGAAAAGAGCAUGGAUUUUCAAAAUUUAACUGAAGUAAACUACUAGAAUCCAUAAGUGAAAGGUCCUUGUGUUCCUUUUGUAGAAGCAUUUUCUAAAUUAUAAUUUUGCUUGCAGGAAAGUGAUGUUUAUGCCUGCAAUAAAAUGUGUAUAUUUAAUUAAAAAUGCUGGACUUUAAGGAAACAACCACUUUAAUUUCUCUGGUUAUUAUUUGAAUUUCAGUGGUUAUAGUUAUUUAAAGAAAAAUUCCCAUGUUCUGUUUUUGUUAAUGCUUAUAUAUAUUUUUACUAGCUUAUUCAUUUUAAUCAUUUUAAUAUUACUUGCUUUUUUCAAAAAUUGAAAAUGAAACAACUGAAGAUAAAGUCCUUUGUAUUUCAAAUAAAAUUGCUUUAGUAAGUUUGCAAUAAUAACGUUGGUAUAAUAAUGGAAAAUCCCAUGAGGUCCAGAAUAUUGUCAACCCACUGCCAAUCUGCUGCUGUAUAAUUUGCUUAUAUUCAAACUGUUUUUCAAGUUGUUAUAGUAAAAUAUGGUCAUGAAUUUAGAAGAUUUCUUAAAAAGUUUCCCUGCAUCACCCAAUGAAAGAUAUAAUAUUUCCUUUAUAAUGUAAUGAAUAUCAGUACUGAGCAAAUUUUCUAGAACAUAUAUUUAAAGUUAAGUUAGUUCAUCUAAGUGGAAUAAAGAUGACUCCCUUACAAAUUGAUUCUUUGUAAUAUUUAGGUGUGAAUUACACAGUGCAAGAUUUGAGAGGGGGGAGCUCAAAUGACCAUCACAGAACCUUUAGGAUUCAUUUUCAUUUCAAAUGCUGAGAAUUGUAAUUUCAAUAUUUAUCAACAUGGAAAGCAAAUCUCACUAUUGUACCAAGUUCUACAGCUUACUUUUAAGAAUCAAGACUGAAAUAAAUUGCAUAGCUUAAGCAAAGUCUCAAACUGUCUUUUGUAACUGUUUCUAUGGAUUUUAAUGAAUUUUUUUGUCAUUUAUAUGCUGUUUAUUAAAGAAUCUGUAAUAAUAAUACAUAUAUUUUUUUCUAGAAAAUAAAAACAGUAAUUUUACAAUACAUUUAAUGGCAACUGGUAGUAACAAAAUUUCUGUAUUUUCUUUACAUGUUCUUUUAGACAAGUCUGCAACUUAGUAUUGAUUAUUUGCAAGUUACCCCACUAGCUGUACUAUCAUUUUUCAAAAGGUAGAUCAUGAUAAUGUAGAAUCAUAGUCAUAAUAUGAUCAUACAAAAUGAUCAGAUUGUAAAUCAGAUUGGGUUUAUCACCAGCACUUAUAAAACCAGACCCAGGGAAAGAACUAGGUCUGGGGAUACCAUGCAUGGUCUUAAUAUAGCGAAUGUUUAGCCUGCCCUGAUUAUUACAAAAAUCAGAACAGCGAGAAUAUUCGCAGUAUUUUUUUUUAAUCCAAGAAAAAUUUUGUAGUCAUUAGCUGCAGUACUUACAUACAUUAAAAAAAAACAAAUAAAUUCUUUCAGGAGAAUACCAUUGGAUCAGUGAGUUAGUUGAUAAGCAAUGGUAGCUGCUUAUGAAAGAAAGGCAUUUUAAAAAUAUUUGGCUUUAUUUAAGCUGAGUGGCACUUUAAGCCAGAAAAAUAAGAUACAAGAGGAGUUAAUUUUAAGUAUUAAGUAUUAAGGUCAUGGAAAGAGUAUAAAUUUCAAUUUGUCUGCAGAAGUGUACUGAGAGAGUUGAAUAGUAGCUAUUAAUGUGGAAGCACAAGUUGGCCCAAGUUUCAUCAUUUAUAUUUCAUAAGAAAUCCACUGCAACCAUAUUCAUAAUUCUGAUUUGACUCCUUGGGAUUGGCUGUUUCAUAGGAGUCAACGUUGGCUUUCUUAUCUCUUCUUGGUUUCUAUAUUCUUUGGGAUUUGUGUUCCUCAUUGCCAGCACAGGAUUUUUCUUUCCUUUCCUUUUUCUUUGGGUUCUGAUGGCGGUGCCUUCCACGAGCAUAGUUAGAAUAGGCAACUAAUGGUCUUUUCUACAUACACUAAAAAAUAACAUUUAUCCAGCAUCUGUGAUGGUUUGGAUGUGAGGUGUUUUCCAAGAAAGCUCAUGUUAGACAAUGUAGGAAUUGUCAGAGGUGAAAUGAUUAGAUUAUAAGAAUUGAAUCAGUAUAUUAAUAUACUUCAUGGGUUAAUAAUUUAAAUGGAAUUCGGUGUGCUAACUCUAGACAGAGUGUUGCUGAAGGAAGUAUACACUGGAGGGAUGCCGGGGAUUAUAACUUGCAACUGCCUUCUUACCUAUUCACUGUCUGCUUACUGGUUUCCAUGAGCUGGGAAUCUUUCCUCCAACACAACCUUCACCCAAGAUAUAAUGCCUUACUUUGGUCCCACAGCAAUGGAGCCAACUGAUCAUGGACUGAACCUAUGAAACCUUGACCCCAAAAUAAAAUUUUCCUGCUCUAAAUAAUUCUUGUCAGGUAUUUUGGUCAUACUGAUGAAAAGCUAACACAGCAUCUAAUAAUCUGUUAUUCAAGAUAACCAAUAUAACCUGGUACAGUAUGACACAAAGUCACUGGGGCAUAUAAGAAUAGAAAAGUAUUUCAGGAUAGUAAAACAAGGAGAGACGCUAGAAUAUAACCAUUCUUAUAAAGAACAUUCUUAUUUGUACUAACCUAGAUUGGUUAUGGGCAUUUACAAUUGUUAAUUGAUGGCUACAUUGGAUAACUGUAUCAUCUAAUUUUAUGCCAUCCAAAAGUAAUAACGAUCUCAGGAUAUGUCUUUUAUCAUGUCAUUGCUAAGUGAUUUUUCUAUUUGUUUUUCCAUUCAAGUAAUUAUUCUCUUAACUAGAGAAUCUUUUUUUAAAAAAGUAAAAUAAAAUUGGGGACAAUUAUAAGGUAGUAGAAAGUUUUCAAUAAAGAUUGGGUAUGCCUGAGAUUUAGUUUGUAUCUGCUUUAGUGUAUUAGUUUGCUGGGGAUUCCAUAAUAAAGUACUUUAGAUUGGAGAGUUUAAACAAAAGAAAGUUUUCACAAUUCUGGAGGUUAGAAGUUUAAGAUCAAGGUGUUCACAGGGUUAGUUUUUGGAUAGCUGUUUCCUUAAUUUGUAGGUGGGUGUUUUCCCUCCAUGUAUUCACUCUGUCCUAAUUUUAUCUUCUUGUAAAGACAUCAUGAUAUUGGAUGAGGGACUACUCUCAUGAUUUAAUGAUCCUAGUUAGCUAAUUUUAACUUAAUUACCUUUCUAAUAAGCCUACCUCCAAAUAUCAUCAUUCUGAGGUAGUUGGGGGUUAGCACUUCCACAUGUGAAUUUAUGGAGGAUAGGUUCUAUAGCCCUUAACAAUUAGCUUUGGUGAUUUUGUUUUGUUUUAUUGGUGGAUUAUUCUUAUACAAAAUAAUGGGAAGUAUUGAUACAUUCUUAUAUCCACAUAAAAUUAUUGGGUUAAUUUCAUUGCCCGUCAAUUCCCCUUUCCCUUCUCUCCUCUGUUUCCCAGUCCCCAUCUUUUACUAUACUGGUUAGUCUCCCUUCUUUAUUCAUGAACGUCUUUUUUUUUUCCCUUUUUUUUUUUUCUGUUGUCUACAUGUGAGAUAAAACACAUGCCCUUUACCUUCUGAAUCUGGCUUAUUUUACUUGACAUAAUAUUCUCCAGUUCAGUCCAUUUUCCUGAAAAUUAUAUAAUUUUGUGCUUCUUUAUGACUGGGUGUUGCUGUUGAGAUAUUCUACGCCCCCCUUCCCCCGAAAAAUAAAACAUCAUGUGGUAGGCAAUGUUGGAAUGUUCAGAAGUGAGAUGAUUAGAUUAUGAGAGCUGUAACCACAUCACUGGAUUAGUCUAUUUCACAGAUUCAUAAUCUGAAUGCACUACUAGGCUGUGGGGUGUGACUAAAGGAAGUACUCUUGGGAUAUGCCCUUGGACUAUAUUUUGUUCUCUUUUUUUGUUGUUGUUGUUCUGUUUCUUCACUGCCAUGAAAUCAGUAGCCUCUUCUACCAUGCUCUUCCUGCAUGAUGUUCUGUCUCAUCUCAGGUUGAGAGCAAUGGAGUUGGCCAACCAAGGAAAGAUCCCCAAAUUAACUUUUCCUCCUCUAAGUUGUUUUUCCAGGUAUUUUGGUCAAAACAUUGAAAAGCUGACCAACACACUAUGUAAAUCUCCAUUUCAUUCAUAUAUAUAUAUAUAUAUAUAUAUAUAUAUAUAUAUAUGAAUAAACAAAAUGGUAUAUAUAUAUACUUUGUUUAUUCAUUUUGUUUAUUCAUUUUUUUUUUGUUGAUGGACACCUAAGUUGGUAUCAUAACUUGGCUAUUGUCAAUUGCACUGUCAUAAACAUGGGUAUGUAUGUAUCACUAUAGUGUUCUGACUUCAGUGCUUUUGAAUAAAUACCUAGGAAUGAUAUAGCUGGGAAAAGUGCCAAUUCCAUACUUAGUAUUUUGAGAACCUCCACACUGAUUUCCACUGUGACUGUACUAAUUUACAAUCCAUUUUGUGACUUUCUAGACUUCAGUAAGAAGUUUUUAGUUUUAUUCUCUACAAAAAAUCUGGGUGUUUAGCAUUCAUAUGGUCUCACAUCCUUGAGGAAUGUGAUGAUUAUAUCAGCCUUGUUUCCCAUUGUAUGAAAAAAAAAAACCUGUUGGAAAAAAUUGGAUUUUGAACAUAUUCAAUAUGUUGACUUCUGGUGAUCACAAUAAUGGUAAUAAAAAGUGAGAUUUUCAAAUGCCUUCUGAGUCAAUAAAGAUUUUAAUUACAUAUAUAUGCAUAUAUAUUAAUCAAAAUGAUAUGAAAAUUUAAAAUUUAGAGCUGAUAUUUAAUGUGUACAUGUCCAUGUGUAAUGCACUUGACUAUUUGUGUUAAACUGUCACAUCUUUAAUAUUUCACAUUUAUGGAUUGUCAUAAAUUUUGUGAAAUUAGAAGGGAAAGCAUUACAUCUGUUCAGUUUUACGAAAUCUAAAAAUAAAAUACAAUGAUGGUGUAAUAUCUAAAAUCGCACAUUUAAUGACAAGCAAAGCUCAGACUCAUAGUUGAAGUUCUUCAGAUAUUAAACCCUGCUCUUUACAAACUAUAUGAUAUUCCUUCUUUGAGAAUACUAGAAGAAAAUUUUGAACAAACAUUUUCAUUUAAGCCCUUGCCAAGUUUAUAUAGAAUCUUCUUUGAUUUAAAUACCCCUACAAUGAUUUAUGUUAAAUUUAAUCUCUGUGGUGAGGUAUCAAGCAUGGAAGAGUAAUCUGUGGUAUUUAAAGAUGGGAGAUUUGGGAGGUAAUUAGGGUUAAAUGAGGUCAACAGAUUUGACCAGUAGCCCAAUGGCACUGCAGUUUUGUAAGAAGAGGAUUCUUGAACUAGGAUGCUCUGUUUUUUUGUGUGAUGCCUUGGCUAUCUGCAGAGUCCUUACCAUGCAAGAAAGACCUUCCCAAUGCAGCCACCUAGGCUUGAACUUUCCGGUCUUUAGAAUUGUGAGUUGAAUAAAAUUUGAUUCUCCAUAAGUUAUUCUACAAUAUUCAGUUAGAGCAACAACAACAACAACAAACAAAUAAACAAAACCAGCCUACAAAAGAGCCUUUACUAAAGAGGAAAAGGAAUUUAAAUUUUAAGAGAAUAAAACAAGAUGCUAAAUUGGUAGACAUAGAAAGAGAUGACAUUCACUAGAGCAAAUAAACACUGAGUAAACACAGAAUUCUGUUACUGUCGUUAAAGGGUUAAAAAUAUUUCUCAGUGCUGAGACUGAGGCUGUGGCUCAGUGGUAAAGGGCUCUCCUGGUGUGUGUGAGGCACUGGGUUCGAUUCUCAGCACCACAUAUAAAUAAAUAAAAGCUUAUCAACAAUUAAAAAUAAAACAAAGUAGCCAAUACUCUUUAAAAAUAUUUCUCAAAAGAAAUUAAGUGCAGAAAAUUAGAAAAAAAGAAAAAAAAUGAAUGAGAGGAGAUAAAUUCAAUUUAUGGAACUAUAAGUGAAAUUUUUAUUAACCUGAAUUACAAUAUAAAUGCAAAUACUAAAUCAACAUAUCCAGUUAGCUAGAGAUUUGCUGCAGGUGGAAAAAGAAAUCCAUCUGACAAGUCCAUACUAAACCUUAUGCCUGUUACUUAGCAUAUAGACAAAAUUAUUCCAAAUAUCAUUAAACUUUCUCCAUCUGCAAAUCUAUUUAUCACAUUUUGUUUUUAUAUAUUCUAUGAAAAAAGUUCCUCAAAGAAAUACCAUAAUCACUCCAUUUCUUAUGUUCUUAGUGUAUUAUUCACUGAAAUACACCAAGAUUAAGUCUAAGCAUAGAAUAAUUAGUUUUCAUGCAUUAUCAAAUUAUUAACUACAUUCCUGACUUCUGGCUAGUGUCAAGUCCUUUCUUCUACUAACAAUGUGGAUACUUCAAGUAGUUGGACGUUAUUAUUACUUAAAUAUUAGGUGUCCCCAAAAAGCACAUGUAUGAGACAAUGCAAGAAAGUUUCGAGGUGAAAUGAUUUGUGUCAUGAGAGCCUAAAUCCUUAAAUAGGGAUUAAUUGGAUGGUAACUGGGCAGGUAGGGGUGGCUGGAGGAGGUGUGUUCCUGGGGGCAUGCCUUUGGCGUAUACAUUUUAUCAUUGUUGAGCACACACCCCUCUUACCCUUUCUCUCUCCCUUUCUCUCCCCAACUCCCUCCUUCCCCGCUCCUCUCCCUUCCUAGUUGUUUUCCCAGCUGUUUUCUUCCAUCGCUCUCUUCUGCCUCACCUCAGGUCCCAGAGAAUGGAGUCAGGUAUCUAUGUUCUAGGGCCUCUGACCCCAUGAGCCCCCCUUCUUCCUCUGUAUGUUCUUGUUAGGUCUUUUGAUCACAAUAGUGAAAAAACUGGCUAAAACAGUUAUACUGGUGCCAGUGGCUAUAUUUGCUUCAGUAAAAGAUUUCCUUCUUUAUUUUAAAGUAAGCUCUCAGAUAAGGGAUAGGCAGUGAUUGUAGUCUUUAUCAAUAUUAAACAAUUAAAAAAAAUUAAGACUUUUUUCUAAAUUAGUUUGGAUAAAGAUUUUAAACUCUCAAGACAUCCACAAAAUUCUAAAACAUUUGAUCAAUCUGAUUUUCCUGCUUUCUCUCAUCUCUGCCACUUCCAAAUACACACAUAAUGGAGUGUUUCUGCAUUUUAUCAUUUUUUAGUAAACACUGGAAGGAAGGCAGUGUAGUACAGGCAAUGAGUGUACAGCAUGUUGGCUUUGAAGAGUUCGAGGGUCCUAUUCUGUCAUUUUCAUCACCAUUUGUCUAGCCAAGGUGUGAAUGCACACUAUCCCAACAUAGUGUGAAUGAUGGAGAGUUAUAGGAGAAGGAAAUUGUGUGAUAGGUUAAGCAAUGGGCAUAUCCCAUAGUAUAGAAAAGAAAAGUUUCUGAAAAAAUAUUAAUGACAAUUUGGAACAGAAUAUACACCAGCAAAGAAUCACACUCAAAAUUGUUAAGGCAGAUAGGCUCUUAGUGACAUCAGAGGAACAGGUAAGCAGGCUGACUAGUCAGGGAGGCAGAGAUGAGAGAAAAGCAAGUGUGAGCAGAUUCCUGGGCUCCCAUGCUUCUUUGCAUCCCUAUUUUACUCUCUCCAUCCAUGUCAAGGCCACCUCCCAUGAUUCAGAUUUCUUCCUUGCUUCUCCUACUUACAUAUUUGUCAGUUACUUGCCCCAUUCUCUUAGCAAUCACAUUCUUUGACACUAGUAAUUAGAUCAGUUAAUUUACUAAGCAACACCAGUGGUUGAAGCUAACUCACUGCCUCUUCCUGACAGAGUGCAUUUGUAACACACUCCACAUGUGCACACUCACAUUUCACCUAUGUAUGUACAGGACCACGGUGCAUUUGUCUGGAGCAGGCAGGCAGGCAGGCAGGAAGUGAAAUACUUUAGGAAAAAAGGUUUGCUCUUCUCCAGUGAAUGCCCAUCUUCUGCUAAUGGGUACUGAGAGGUAUUUGUCUCAUCCCAGUGAUUCAGCUGUGACUGGAGAGAAAGAGAUUGAUAAAGGAGGGAAGGAAAUGCCAUGGGGAAAUGCAGCAGAUAGGGCUCAAACUUUGGGGGCCAAGUAGAGUUUCUGCAGGUUUAUUGAUUUUCUUUUUGAAAUACUAUUUGAAAGGCUUCUCUCAAAGUUCAUGAGUGAGGACAUUUUUAAGCAAGACUGUGGCAAAGACAUGUUUAUGGUUGACACUGUGUCAUUUCCCAGUUUAUGGUACCCAUUUGGGGAAUAUGUUUAUACCCUUCUUAGUGCUGGCAUUUACCAAGCAAAGAUGCCACUUGGAAAGGGUGAUUUAUUUUUUGCACCAUUAUAUUUUGAAAGACUUUCAGGUUACAAGAACCCUUUGAAGUUAAAGCCCGUGAUGUUAAGAUUAAUAACAGUAAUUAUAGGGCUCUGUAAUAGUAGAAAAAUCUGUAGCUUGCCUUUGAGAUUGAAUAUGAAAGGUUCCAGGUCCAAGGGAGUAAUAAAAGCUUUUUCUUUCUGCAAGGACAGCCAGGAACAGGAAGAAGUUUCUUCCUGGAAAAUACACAGGGGUGUUGAAUGUUCAAGUUUUUCUGAAGAUAAGGUGAUCCUCUGUAACCUGGCCCCAGGGACUACUUUAGGUCAUAAUCACUUUUGUUUGAUCUUUUUUGUUUUGCUUUGUUUAUAAUGUCAAUGCUCACCUGGGAAAUUAGGAUUGUUUUGACCCUUUCUCCCUUGCUGCAUACUUCAAAGUGUGCUCUGAUUUAAAAUGUUCUUCCUGGUAGCUGUGGAGAAAAUUGUCCCCCUAAAAAACCCUUUAAGUUCUUGUGAUAAUGAGAAAUGGCCAAAUUAAAUACUAUUCUAAUGAUUUUCUCCCAUUCACUAAACUUUUUAGGAAGCCCUUUGAGAGGAAGGAGAGGAAAAAGUAUAUGAUAAAUGAGGUGGAAAAAUUAGUGGGAAGUAAGUGAUAAUGAAUGAACAAGGGGUGAAGGGGAAAAUAUAAGCAAAAAGGUGAAGAAUAGCUUGGAAAAAUAAAGAGGUGGAAAUUGUGUAAGAAAUAAAGAAAUGAAGAGAGAAAAAAAGCAAGACACAGACAGGAAGAAGAAGUGAAAGAGGAGGUGGGCAAUUCUUUUCUCUUUUUUUUCACAGUCUUCACACAAAAGAAGAACUGAAAUUCAAGCUCAAAUAUAGAAUCUGAGCAUUGCAUCACCCACAAUCUAUAACAGGAAAAGAUAUAUUUGGAAAUGUACAAACAGAAAGUUUGUGCUUGAUAGUAUUCCUCAGACUGCAUAAGAAAAACAAUAAUGCCAGGUCUCAAGUGUAGAAAGACAUGGGGAAGCCUGAACCUGGGAAGUCACACAGGGCACACAAUGACUUGGGAAUACUUUGUCCUCUCCUUAGGGGACUCUGGAAUCCCUCAUGGGCAUGUACCUCAUCUGGAGAACUUUUGUAUCUACAUACUCUUUCCCUUGUCCUUGUAAGUCUAUCUUUAAUCUUUCCAUUCUUUCUUUUUAUAAAAAAUUCUUCUCCGUUUUUUUCCUUCUUAAAAAAUCUAUGAUAGAUCGAAUUAUGUUUUCCAAUUCCUCACCCCUCUCCCCCCACCCCAUAUCCACACCCUUUUCCAUGUAAUGUUUAAAUUCUUCCCACUAGUUGCAAGAUGUGCCCACUUCUACCCAUUGACUUUGGGCUUGGUCAUGACGAGGAUGUCAACAGAUAUGAUGCAAGUGGUUUAGAAAUGCUUCUUGGGCCUACGCUCUUGUGCUUCUGCUGAUGCCAUGAGAGGAAUGUGUCUCAAUUAUUUUCCAAGGUCUCAAUAAAUGAAAAACAUUUAGACUAGAUAUAAAGAAGACAGGUAGAAUGGAGUGAAACCCAGAAGAAUUCAGCAACCAAGGUCAGCAAAAAUAUUCUAGUCAAACCACAGCUGCAUGAACAGAAAAUAAUUGCUCAUUAUUUCAGGUAGUAAAAUUUUGGGAAAGUUGUUGCAAUAUAGUAUUUUUUAAAAAUGCUGUUUUGACCCAGUUUUAAGAUUCUGGCUAUAGGCAAGUCAGUUCCCCUUCUUGAACAGUUAAUGAAGUCCACGUCCUACCCAUUUCCUUUAAUGGACUUUCACAUGCAUCCCCUCUAAUCACUGUGGGAUCAGGCACUUGAUAACUAGGACCAUCCCAGAGAUCACAGAAAUUAUUCCAAUUAGUCAAUCCACCAAAGCUUGAAAACCUAACUGUACAUUACUUGCCUUAGAUAAGUGGUUUCCCCAAAGCUCCAGCUUACAGUUCCCCUGUGCUCUUUUAUCUAUCCAAAUAUCUGUGUGCUGUGGCCCACCAUCAAACAGUUCUUUAAAUCUUAAAAAACAGUUGUUAUGAAAUAUUAUUGAAGCAAUAUAUGCCUGAAAUAGCCACUCACUUUAAAACACUUAGGAUAAAACCACACUUCUCAGCAUCAUUGGAUAGUAUAGCAAAUCACUAUGCCCUUUUCUGCCCUUGAUCUCACACACCUUUCCUAUCAUGUUGUUUGAUGUGUGAAGUGAUAACAAUGUUUGGUUGAAUUAAAUAAAAGGAAGUUUGAAAUAAUCAUAGAACUUUAUAGAUAUUGGGAGAGACAGAAAAGCAAUUUAAUUCCUUUCAACUAAUAACAUAAACCCAUUACUUCCCUUUCUUUCUUCUAACUGUUCUUUCUAUGGUAUUAGGUAAAGAAAGACCACAGAGUUUGAGAAUAUGACUUUAUUUCACCUAUUCUUUCAUAAGUUACAGUACUAUUGGCAUGACACUCAUUUUGAGUUCCUGUUUUCUAAUGAAGUAAUCAUGAAAAGUCUUUAUAAAAGCAAGGGAUAUACAAUUGAUAUUUAGAGAUGUGAAUUAAUAAGACAAUGCUUUUAAGAGUUUCAUCAAUUUCAAAAUAGUUCAUUAACUAUUUACAAUUAUGAUUAGUAUGUUAGUCAUAAAGUUGUAAAUGUGAGUGCUUCAUAAACUAGAGCUUCUAUCUUACAAUAAGAAAUUUCCAACUAAUUGAAGCACCCAUCUAGUAACAAAUGUCAAACAGCCUAAUAUGUUUGCCAUAAACCCAGGAAGAUCUGACAACUGAAGAGGUUUUUUGUCAGGAAAAAUUCUCCAUCCACUUGCUAUCUCAUAAUUUCAUAUGACCUUAUGUUGAGUCUCUGAAGAAAGACAAAAGUGAAAUAUGAAAUUUGGAAGAACUUGGAUGGAGUAUCUUGGUUGAAAUUUUGAUUUCCCCUAUCACUAUUUGAUGGCUCAGAAUUACAUCAUUCAUGCAUGUGAAGGCAUUCAGCUUAAAUUUUUCUUCCUUUCUUUCUUUCUUUCCUUCUUUCUUUCUUUCUUUUUUUAAGGUACACAUGUCUUCUAUGUAUUCAGAACUCAAAGAAAGAAUAGUCACAUACUUCAGUGGAAUAGUUUGGCAGGAAAGUAAAUGCAAUUUGUACUGAGAUAUUCUAUGCUUUGAAUUCUGGUUAUGCUAUUUGCUACUUUUACUACUGUAGGAAAUUCACAUAACUUCUUUGAAUAUAAUUUUUCUCAUUUAUAAAUUAGGAUAUUAAUUUCAACAUCAAGGAAUUAUUGAAGUUAGUAAGGGUCACAGAGAAAAAUAUUGAAUCCAUCUUCUGACACAUAGUAAGUGCUUAGAUCUUUAUAGUAUCUAAAAAGGCAAUGAUAAAGGAGAGCAACAAAUAGAGAAGAUGAAAUUAAAAAGAGAAGGAUUAGUGUUGUUACAUCAUCUCUCUGAUAACUCAACAAGAAUGGAAAAUUAUCUGUCUCUUAUUAAUUCUUUAACCACUUGAUUAUUCAACAUUUUUGAUACCAAUCAUGUCCUUGGCAGUGUGGAAGUCACUGAUGCAGUUACAAAGAUAUAUGACAUCUAUGAGGCCAUUAAUAACAUCUCCUUCCAGGAAGAGAUGAGGCACUAUUACACAUAACUAUAAGUCAAAAUUUCCCAACAAGCUCACCAUCAGAAAUCUAUUUACAUGAGACCCAGGGGUCUAUUUUCAAGUUAGUUUAAAUACAUGCACAGAGGACUCCUCAUUCACCCUUGAAAAUUCACAAAUUGAGGCUUCUCUGAGUGCUUCCUGUGCAAUUGGUAGGGAACAAGGAUCCAUUGUUCUAAGCGAAUUUUCCUCUUCGAUGACUUGUGAGACUACUGUUGCACACAACACCUUUUGCAAAAUGCUUCUAAAAUGAAGGUAGAAAGUGAUAAGCAACAUAAGGAAAGAUCAUUCAUAGGAUGUUGAUGUGGGAGAAAUUACAUCUUUUCCAGGGAAGAGACUGGAAGGAUUACGGACAAAAGAGCCACUUUAGAGUGAGACUUAAAACAUGAUUAGGGACUGCAGAAGUAGAAACUGCAUAGAGAAAUUACUAAAUUAAAAGGAGACAUGAAGUUUAUAAAAUCUACACAUAAAUGGAUUUAUGUGCCAAGUAAGGGUAAAAUGAAGUGAUUUCUGAAAUGAUCAACUCAAAAUGUUUUUAAUUCUGAAAAUCACGAGUUUAUUCCAUCAGCUCUGAAAAACUGCUGACGAUUUUGAGCAGGAAAGACCAUUGACCUGAAUUAUGUUUGGGAAGAUCAAUCCAGCAGUUGUAUAUAGAACAUAUUAGAAAAAGAGAAAAGUAGCAGGUAUACAACUUGCAAAGAAUCAUGAAUAAGUACAAUGAUCAUCCCUUCUUUUCCACCAACUGAGAUGCCAUUCAAAUUCCUCCUCCUGCUCUCCCAAGAAAGAGAAGGCCUUCAUUAUAGACCUGGAAGAAGGAUGGGCCUGAGUUUAUUUACCUGACCUUCAGAGGAAUUCAGUCUAGAAUUUACUAUAUGUCUCAUAGUGAAGACAUUGACUGUUAUAACUUUUCUCUCCAAAAAUUACUGGCAUAAUAAAAAAUAUUGAUAAAGUUUAUCAAGACAUAUAAAGGAUAUUUUCAUGUUAUUUUGAAACAAAUCACAUAUGCAAAUUAAGGAUAUUUAUGGAAUGAGAAGAACAUUAGCAAUAUGAAGUAUGCUUCUUAGUUUCUGGGAGAACCCAUUUCCUUUUGUAAAAUAAUGGUGACAAUUAUAUACACCUUCAUAAUUAUAGUUAUUUUCUAUUGAGUGCAUUUCAAGCAUUAGGACUUAUUCAUGGUGCCUAAUAUUUAUUAUUGCAUUCGAAUUUUAAAAUACCAAUGAGGCUAAAGUUUCACAUGAGGUUAAGCUGAGAUUGGGAUGUGUUACAAAAAAGCACUCUUGACACGGUCUCAGCAAACUAUAGAAUAAUUGCAGAAUAGGACUCAGUUGUUGCCUAGAAGAACAAAGCACUUAUUCUGAGCUUUUUAGUAUUAAAUAAUACUAGAUUCUCCAGUAAGGAAUUUACCCCACUGCUUAGGCUCAAAGUCUAAGAAAGUCUUCCUUUUCCUUUUAAAAAAUGUUUUUCUGAGCUAAUAUCUUGCAAGAAGCAUUAUUAUCUUUCAACACUGAAUCUGCCUGUUACACCAAUGUGACAUUUGUUUACCAACUUCAGUAUGCAUCCAUCAUGAAAAUAAGAUUGGAAUCAACCAAAGUGCCCAUUUACAGGAGAAUGGAUGAAAAAAAAUGGUCUAUACACACAUACACAAACACAAACACACACACAUACACACACAUACACACACAUACACAUUAUGGAAUAUAUUUAUAUUGAAGAAUAUGAUCCUGCCAUUUUAAAUAACGAAUGGAUAGUCAUUAUGUUUAGUAUAAUAAAGCAGAUACAGGAAGACAGAUACCACAUGUUCUCACUCAUUUGAGCAAACUAAAAAGUCAGUCAUUCAGAAGGUGGAGUGGAAAGGUGGACACAAAGAUUCGAAGGGCAGGGAAAGUAGAACAGGAAGAGGUUAGAUAAAUGGCACCAAACCAGUUGGACUGGUGGAAUUAGUUUUGAUUUUCUAUACCACACUAACGUAACUAUUGUCUAUAUAAAUCUAUGGAAUAGUUAAAAAAAACUAGAAAAGCAAUACAUUUAUCAACACAUGGAAAUGAUUAAUAUUUGAGGAGAUGAAAGUGCCUAGUACUCUAAUUUAAUCAUUACACAUUGUGCACAUAUAUCAAAUUUUAUAUCAUACUCCAUAAAUAUGUACAAAUAUUAUGUCUCAAUAAAAGUAAAUUUAAAAUACCAUAAGUUUUUUUUUAAAGUGGCUCUUUUGUCCGUAAUCCUUCCAGUCUCUUCCCUGGAAAAGAUGUAAUUUCUCCCACAUCAACAUCCUAUGAAUGAUCUUUCCUUAUGUUGCUUAUCACUUUCUACCUUCAUUUUAGAAGCAUUUUGCAAAAGGUGUUGUGUGCAACAGUAGUCUCACAAGUCAUCGAAGAGGAAAAUUCGCUUAGAACAAUGGAUCCUUGUUCCCUACCAAUUGCACAGGAAGCACUCAGAGAAGCCUCAAUUUGUGAAUUUUCAAGGGUGAAUGAGGAGUCCUCUGUGCAUGUAUUUAAACUAACUUGAAAAUAGACCCCUGGGUCUCAUGUAAAUAGAUUUCUGAUGGUGAGCUUGUUGGGAAAUUUUGACUUAUAGUUAUGUGUAAUAGUGCCUCAUCUCUUCCUGGAAGGAGAUGUUAUUAAUGGCCUCAUAGAUGUCAUAUAUCUUUGUAACUGCAUCAGUGACUUCCACACUGCCAAGGACAUGAUUGGUAUCAAAAAUGUUGAAUAAUCAAGUGGUUAAAGAAUUAAUAAGAGACAGAUAAUUUUCCAUUCUUGUUGAGUUAUCAGAGAGAUGAUGUAACAACACUAAUCCUUCUCUUUUUAAUUUCAUCUUCUCUAUUUGUUGCUCUCCUUUAUCAUUGCCUUUUUAGAUACUAUAAAGAUCUAAGCACUUACUAUGUGUCAGAAGAUGGAUUCAAUAUUUUUCUCUGUGACCCUUACUAACUUCAAUAAUUCCUUGAUGUUGAAAUUAAUAUCCUAAUUUAUAAAUGAGAAAAAUUAUAUUCAAAGAAGUUAUGUGAAUUUCCUACAGUAGUAAAAGUAGCAAAUAGCAUAACCAGAAUUCAAAGCAUAGAAUAUCUCAGUACAAAUUGCAUUUACUUUCCUGCCAAACUAUUCCACUGAAGUAUGUGACUAUUCUUUCUUUGAGUUCUGAAUACAUAGAAGACAUGUGUACCUUAAAAAAAGAAAGAAAGAAAGAAGGAAAGAAAGAAAGAAAGGAAGAAAAAUUUAAGCUGAAUGCCUUCACAUGCAUGAAUGAUGUAAUUCUGAGCCAUCAAAUAGUGAUAGGGGAAAUCAAAAUUUCAACCAAGAUACUCCAUCCAAGUUCUUCCAAAUUUCAUAUUUCACUUUUGUCUUUCUUCAGAGACUCAACAUAAGGUCAUAUGAAAUUAUGAGAUAGCAAGUGGAUGGAGAAUUUUUCCUGACAAAAAACCUCUUCAGUUGUCAGAUCUUCCUGGGUUUAUGGCAAACAUAUUAGGCUGUUUGACAUUUGUUACUAGAUGGGUGCUUCAAUUAGUUGGAAAUUUCUUAUUGUAAGAUAGAAGCUCUAGUUUAUGAAGCACUCACAUUUACAACUUUAUGACUAACAUACUAAUCAUAAUUGUAAAUAGUUAAUGAACUAUUUUGAAAUUGAUGAAACUCUUAAAAGCAUUGUCUUAUUAAUUCACAUCUCUAAAUAUCAAUUGUAUAUCCCUUGCUUUUAUAAAGACUUUUCAUGAUUACUUCAUUAGAAAACAGGAACUCAAAAUGAGUGUCAUGCCAAUAGUACUGUAACUUAUGAAAGAAUAGGUGAAAUAAAGUCAUAUUCUCAAACUCUGUGGUCUUUCUUUACCUAAUACCAUAGAAAGAACAGUUAGAAGAAAGAAAGGGAAGUAAUGGGUUUAUGUUAUUAGUUGAAAGGAAUUAAAUUGCUUUUCUGUCUCUCCCAAUAUCUAUAAAGUUCUAUGAUUAUUUCAAACUUCCUUUUAUUUAAUUCAACCAAACAUUGUUAUCACUUCACACAUCAAACAACAUGAUAGGAAAGGUGUGUGAGAUCAAGGGCAGAAAAGGGCAUAGUGAUUUGCUAUACUAUCCAAUGAUGCUGAGAAGUGUGGUUUUAUCCUAAGUGUUUUAAAGUGAGUGGCUAUUUCAGGCAUAUAUUGCUUCAAUAAUAUUUCAUAACAACUGUUUUUUAAGAUUUAAAGAACUGUUUGAUGGUGGGCCACAGCACACAGAUAUUUGGAUAGAUAAAAGAGCACAGGGGAACUGUAAGCUGGAGCUUUGGGGAAACCACUUAUCUAAGGCAAGUAAUGUACAGUUAGGUUUUCAAGCUUUGGUGGAUUGACUAAUUGGAAUAAUUUCUGUGAGCUCUGGGAUGGUCCUAGUUAUCAAGUGCCUGAUCCCACAGUGAUUAGAGGGGAUGCAUGUGAAAGUCCAUUAAAGGAAAUGGGUAGGACGUGGACUUCAUUAACUGUUCAAGAAGGGGAACUGACUUGCCUAUAGCCAGAAUCUUAAAACUGGGUCAAAACAGCAUUUUUAAAAAAUACUAUAUUGCAACAACUUUCCCAAAAUUUUACUACCUGAAAUAAUGAGCAAUUAUUUUCUGUUCAUGCAGCUGUGGUUUGACUAGAAUAUUUUUGCUGACCUUGGUUGCUGAAUUCUUCUGGGUUUCACUCCAUUCUACCUGUCUUCUUUAUAUCUAGUCUAAAUGUUUUUCAUUUAUUGAGACCUUGGAAAAUAAUUGAGACACAUUCCUCUCAUGGCAUCAGCAGAAGCACAAGAGCGUAGGCCCAAGAAGCAUUUCUAAACCACUUGCAUCAUAUCUGUUGACAUCCUCGUCAUGACCAAGCCCAAAGUCAAUGGGUAGAAGUGGGCACAUCUUGCAACUAGUGGGAAGAAUUUAAACAUUACAUGGAAAAGGGUGUGGAUAUGGGGUGGGGGGAGAGGGGUGAGGAAUUGGAAAACAUAAUUCGAUCUAUCAUAGAUUUUUUAAGAAGGAAAAAAACGGAGAAGAAUUUUUUAUAAAAAGAAAGAAUGGAAAGAUUAAAGAUAGACUUACAAGGACAAGGGAAAGAGUAUGUAGAUACAAAAGUUCUCCAGAUGAGGUACAUGCCCAUGAGGGAUUCCAGAGUCCCCUAAGGAGAGGACAAAGUAUUCCCAAGUCAUUGUGUGCCCUGUGUGACUUCCCAGGUUCAGGCUUCCCCAUGUCUUUCUACACUUGAGACCUGGCAUUAUUGUUUUUCUUAUGCAGUCUGAGGAAUACUAUCAAGCACAAACUUUCUGUUUGUACAUUUCCAAAUAUAUCUUUUCCUGUUAUAGAUUGUGGGUGAUGCAAUGCUCAGAUUCUAUAUUUGAGCUUGAAUUUCAGUUCUUCUUUUGUGUGAAGACUGUGAAAAAAAAGAGAAAAGAAUUGCCCACCUCCUCUUUCACUUCUUCUUCCUGUCUGUGUCUUGCUUUUUUUCUCUCUUCAUUUCUUUAUUUCUUACACAAUUUCCACCUCUUUAUUUUUCCAAGCUAUUCUUCACCUUUUUGCUUAUAUUUUCCCCUUCACCCCUUGUUCAUUCAUUAUCACUUACUUCCCACUAAUUUUUCCACCUCAUUUAUCAUAUACUUUUUCCUCUCCUUCCUCUCAAAGGGCUUCCUAAAAAGUUUAGUGAAUGGGAGAAAAUCAUUAGAAUAGUAUUUAAUUUGGNNNNNNNNNNNNNNNNNNNNNNNNNNNNNNNNNNNNNNNNNNNNNNNNNNNNNNNNNNNNNNNNNNNNNNNNNNNNNNNNNNNNNNNNNNNNNNNNNNNNNNNNNNNNNNNNNNNNNNNNNNNNNNNNNNNNNNNNNNNNNNNNNNNNNNNNNNNNNNNNNNNNNNNNNNNNNNNNNNNNNNNNNNNNNNNNNNNNNNNNNNNNNNNNNNNNNNNNNNNNNNNNNNNNNNNNNNNNNNNNNNNNNNNNNNNNNNNNNNNNNNNNNNNNNNNNNNNNNNNNNNNNNNNNNNNNNNNNNNNNNNNNNNNNNNNNNNNNNNNNNNNNNNNNNNNNNNNNNNNNNNNNNNNNNNNNNNNNNNNNNNNNNNNNNNNNNNNNNNNNNNNNNNNNNNNNNNNNNNNNNNNNNNNNNNNNNNNNNNNNNNNNNNNNNNNNNNNNNNNNNNNNNNNNNNNNNNNNNNNNNNNNNNNNNNNNNNNNNNNNNNNNNNNNNNNNNNNNNNNNNNNNNNNNNNNNNNNNNNNNNNNNNNNNNNNNNNNNNNNNNNNNNNNNNNNNNNNNNNNNNNNNNNNNNNNNNNNNNNNNNNNNNNNNNNNNNNNNNNNNNNNNNNNNNNNNNNNNNNNNNNNNNNNNNNNNNNNNNNNNNNNNNNNNNNNNNNNNNNNNNNNNNNNNNNNNNNNNNNNNNNNNNNNNNNNNNNNNNNNNNNNNNNNNNNNNNNNNNNNNNNNNNNNNNNNNNNNNNNNNNNNNNNNNNNNNNNNNNNNNNNNNNNNNNNNNNNNNNNNNNNNNNNNNNNNNNNNNNNNNNNNNNNNNNNNNNNNNNNNNNNNNNNNNNNNNNNNNNNNNNNNNNNNNNNNNNNNNNNNNNNNNNNNNNNNNNNNNNNNNNNNNNNNNNNNNNNNNNNNNNNNNNNNNNNNNNNNNNNNNNNNGGGUGGACCAAUGGUACAGAAUAGAGGACACAGAGACUAAUCCACAAAGCUACAACUAUCUUAUAUUUGAUAAAGGAGCUAAAAGCAUGCAAUGGAGGAAGGAUAGCAUCUUCAACAAAUGGUGCUGGGAAAACUGGAAAUCCAUAUGCAACAAAAUGAAACUGAAUCCCCUCCUCUCGCCAUGCACAAAAGUUAACUCAAAGUGGAUCAAGGAGCUAGAUAUCAAAUCAGAGACUCUGCGUCUGAUAGAAGAAAAAGUUGGCUCCGAUCUACAUAUUGUGGGGUCGGGCUCCAAAUUCCUUAAUAGGACACCCAUAGCACAAAAGUUAAUAACAAGAAUCAACAAAUGGGACUUACUUAAACUGAAAAGUUUUUUCUCAGCAAGAGAAACAAUAAGAGAGGUAAAUAGGGAGCCUACAUCAUGGGAACAAAUUUUUACUCCUCACACUUCAGAUAGAGCCCUAAUAUCCAGAGUAUACAAAGAACUCAAAAAAUUAAACAAUAAGAAAACAAAUAACCCAAUCAACAAAUGGGCCAAGGACCUGAACAGACACUUCUCAGAGGAGGACAUACAAUCAAUCAACAAGUACAUGAAAAAAUGCUCACCAUCUCUAGCAGUCAGAGAAAUGCAAAUCAAAACCACCCUAAGAUACCAUCUCACUCCAGUAAGAUUGGCAGCCAUUAUGAAGUCAAACAACAACAAGUGCUGGAGAGGAUGUGGGGAAAAGGGUACUCUUGUACAUUGCUGGUGGGACUGCAAACUGGGGCAGCCAAUUUGGAAAGCAGUAUGGAGAUUCCUGGGAAAGCUGGGAAUGGAACCUCCAUUUGACCCAGCUAUUGCCCUUCUCGGACUAUUCCCUGAAGACCUUAAAAGAGCAGGGAUACUGCUACAUCGAUGUUCAUAGCAGCACAAUUCACAAUUUCUAGACUGUGGAACCAACCCAGAUGCCCUUCAAUAGAUGAAUGGAUAAAAAAAAAUGUGGCAUUUAUACACAAUGGAGUAUUAUACAGCACUAAAAAAUGACAAAAUCAUGGAAUUUGCAGGGAAAUGGAUGGCACUAGAGCAGAUUAUGCUUAGUGAAGCUAGCCAAUCCCUAAAAAACAAAUACCAAAGGUCUUCUUUGAUAUAAUGAGAGCAACUAAGAACAAAGCAGGGAGGAAGAGCACGAAGAAAAGAUUAACAUUAAACAGAUACAUGAGGUGGGAGGGAAAGGGAGAGAAAAGGGAAAUUGCAUGGUAAUGGAGGGAGACCCACAUGGUUAUACAACAUUACAUAUAAGAGGUUGUGAGGGGAAGGGGAAAAUAAACAAGGAGAGAAAUGAAUUACAGUAGAUGGGGUAGAGAGAGAAGAUGGGAGGGGAGGGGAGGGGAAAUAAUACAGGAUAGGAAAGGUAGCAGAAUACAACAGUUACUAAUAGGGCAUUAUGUAAAAAUGUGGAUGUGUAACCGAUGUGAUUCUGCAAUCUGUAUUUGGGGUAAAAUUGGGAGUUCAAAACCCACUUGAAUCAAAUGUAUGAAAUAUGAUAUGUCAAGAGCUUUGUAAUGUUUUGAACAACCAAUAAAAAAAAAAAACUUAAAAAAAAAUCAGAACACUUAAGUUAGAGAUGGCCUGAAUUUAGGCAAGAGUUGGGACAUGCAUUUAUACUCAUGCAUAGGUAGUGACUGUUCAGAGAUGAAGCAAGACAUCUUCCUUUGGUCAUGAAAAAUUACUGAGGAGGAUUCAGCUUUGAGAAGCCUAUAGGAAAUGCUUAGGAAACUGGAAAGUCAGUCUUGGGUACUGAAGAUAUAUCUGGGUAGCCUACCAGAAUAUCCAAUUUUAGCACUCACUAACGGUUUAACUGCACAUGAACCUCCAGUUCAGAUAUUUUUUUUCUAGGAUAAUUGGAUCUAUUGUUAAUUAGAGGUUUAAUUUUAUUUUCUCUUUUUUUUUUCUUUUUUCUUCUCCCUUUCCCUCUCUGUUCCUUUUUUUAAAAAAAAUAACUUUUUGUUUUUAUUUUCUUCUAUUUGUCUGCCCCUUGGAAUAUCUUCAUUUUUUCCUUUUAUCAGCUUUGUUUUCUUCAUUUACUUUUAGUUAUUUUUAUUAAUUUUUACUGCUGGCUUUCCUCAUAUCAAGACCUCCUCCAUUCACUAUAUUUAAUAAUGUAGGUUUCCUCUGUCAUUAUUUAAGUGGCUCUUUUUAUUUAUUUAUUUUUUUAUUUAUUUAAGUGGCUCUUUUUAAUGGUGAGUUUCUCUUUGUCACAUGAAAACUGGCUAUAGACCAUGUCUACUUGAACAGAACAUGUUAAAAUGGCACAUUUUAUCUAAAGAGGAGUUGAACAAUAGGAAUAUAACUCAAGCCACACGUUCAAGUUAAAAUUUUCUGAUAGCCACAUUAUAUUUCCAUAUAUAAACAUAUAUGCACAUAGGUAUAGACAUAUAUCUGUAUAUAUGAAUACAUGUAUAUGUAAAAUUGCAUUUCAUAAUGUAAUCAAUUUACUAAACUGUUAAUGAGAUGUUUUAUAUUAUCAUUUUCAUUUUAAAUUUUCAAAAUCAAAUGUAUAUUUCACAUUAGCAGGAUAUCUCAAUUCAUAUUACUCAACAGAAACUCAAUAGCUACAUGUUAUUAAGGGCCACUAUAUUUAACAGAAUAGAUCUGAUGCCAGGAUGCAGGCCUGUCAAAACACCAAAUGAUGUUGCUUUAGUCUUGGGUACCAGAAGGUUUAGCUCUAUUUGGAUAAUUUUAAAUUUGUUUAGAAAAUAUUUGGCAGACUUUUACUGUUGGGAUGCCUGCUUGUUUAUAAGUGGGAACCACUAAAGCUAUUUCUCAUGUAGACUUUUAAUUCAUCAUCUCAUUUCAGGUUCAUAUCUCCUUGCUUCAUUCUGUACCUGCUGAUUCAAUCAUCUUGAAGCAUGGAUGUUAACAUCCUUUCUUAGGAUUAUUAUAUUAUUACAUUUCUAACUUUUUUACUUUAAACCUUAUCCUUUCCAGAACCAAUAAUAAAGACUGGGCAAACAUCACUGUUUGAAAUCAUAAAUCUGGUAAUUUAUCACCCUGAUUAAAAUGUUCACAAAUAUUUGUAUUGGCCAUAUAAUAGAUUACAAAUGCUGUCUGUGACUUACAUUGGUCACCAUCCAACAGAGACAUAAAAAGUGAAAGGAUGGUGGAAUGAGAUGGACAUUAUUACCCUGUAUACAUGUAUGAUUUCCCUACCAGUGUAACUCUGCACCAUGUACAGCCAAAGGAAUGAGAAAUUGUGCUCCAUUUGUGUACAAUGGGUAAAAAUGCAUUCUACUCCCAUGUACCACUAAUUUAAACAAAUAAAAAAAAAAAGAAAUGCAAAGAAAAGCCACAAAUUAUAAAUCGAGCAAUAACAGAGGAUUUAAAGUAAUUAUAACAGUUAUGAAAAUUAAAAUUCCAUUGGUGGAAAUAAUAAUGAUGAUGAAAAGAACUUGUUAAAUAUCUUAUAUACCAAUAGAUAUCUUUUCUAUCACUGUUUUGUUCUUGAAUAUAUAGCUAUUACAUUUUAUAGAUUAAAUCAUCUGAGAAACAGAUAUACUAAAUAACUUUCCUGAAGUCAGAGAAUCAGAAAGCAGAUAAGAAUUCUGGUAUAUUUAAUCUUCUCUCACAUGUUCCUAAUUCAAUAGCACGUUAGUCGGCUUUCCAUUAUUACACCAAAAUAACUUAAAAAGAGCAGUGAUUUAUUUUGGUUAAAAAUUUUGGUUUUAGUCCACGUUCAAUUGGUCUCAUUGCUUUUGGACUACAGUAGGGGCAGCACAUCAUGGAAAGCAUGAAUGAUGGAAGACACUGCUCACCUCAUGGUGGCUGGAAAACAGAGAUAGGAAGGGACAGAAGUCAUAUCCCAUCAGAGGCACUGCCAGCAAUGACUGAAUUUCCUCCCAUUAGGACCACUUCCUAAAGUUUCUAGCAUCUCCACCAUGAGCAAGACCAAACUUUAACACAUGGGUUUUUGGGAGACACUUUUUCAAGCCAUAGAAAAUGUUUUGACACCAAAUACUGCCACAGGCUUCAUGAAAACAAGAUGUUUUUAUUGUGAUUGGAAAUAUAUAUAUAUAUAUAUAUAUAUAUAUAUAUAUAUAUAUAUAUAUAUAUAUAUAUAUAUUUUAAGUUUUUUCGUGUUUUGGAAUUUGACAAUUUGACAUGUUCAAUUUCCUACCCAUUUCAUUUGAAGGACUCAUAUAAUCUAAUUUAGAAUUAAAUGGUUAUAAGAAGAUUAUCAAGCAUAUAAUCAUAACAGUGGUGCUAGCUCUCCCAGAUUCUUCUUCUAUUUAGUUUAGUCCUCAGCAAAAUAACAACAAAUAUAUAUGUGGGUGAAUCCAUGGUUUCAUUAAUCUGUUCAACUAAUGCUAUGCAGCAUCUACUAUAACCCCACAAGAACAAUAUGCAGAUUUAUUAAUUGAUCCUUGUUAUUUCAGAUCUCCAGGUUAAUAAGAGAGAGAACAUGUUAAAAGGUAAUUACAGCACAAUGUGACACAAAGGAACUAUACAAUUUUAACUGAUGAAAGUAGUUAGAGUUAUUAAAAAGAUGUGGAAAAGACAUUGUUGAGAUAUGAACAAGAUAUGACAUCGUUGAGCUGAAUAGUAAAUAAUACAUAUGUUCCAGCCAUAUAUGAUGGAAAAAGUAUUCCAGAGAUAGUAAACAACAUGCACAAAGAAUGAUUGCAUCAAGCAGCCUGGUGUUAGUUAAUUAAACUGAUGCAACACACAGACAAUAUAAAGAGAGAGGACUUAUGUUAACAUUCAUUCUUUUUGCUUUUAUUUAAUUCAUAUUAAUGUAUAAUUCACAUACCACAAAAUUAAAGACUUAAAAGUGAAAAAAUCAGAGGCAAUUAGUGUAUCACCUCUAUCUGACUCUAAAACAUGUCAAUCAUGAUAAAAUAAAACCCUGUAUUCUCUAAGCCAUUACUUCUCAUUUCUUACUCUGCCUAGUCCCCAAAAACUACCCCUCUGCUUUCUACUUCUACGGAUUUACCUAUCUGGACAUGUCAUAAAAAUAAAAUCAUACAAUUUAUGACAUUUUGAUGUAUAGCUUCUUUUACUUAGCAUGAUGAUUUUGAGGUUAGUUCACAUUAUAACAUAUAUCUGUAUUUUCUUUCUUUUUAUGGCUUAGUAAUAUCUAUUGUACACACAUACUACGAUUUUUCUAUUGAUGGUCAUCAAUGUGUACAACUUAUUCAAGUAUUAGUUCUCAUACCAGUCUUCAAGUACUUUGAUUGUAUACCUAGAAGUGAAAUUUUGGGGUCAUUCUGUUUUACCUUCUGAGGAAUCACUAACCAUUUUCUACAGUGACUGAAACAUUUUCAGUUACCAGUUGGGAUUCUCUUUGCUCAUACAUAGUAGAACACUUUAACAAAAAUGUUUAAAUAGAGAAAUUUAUUGUUCCUUCAUAAAAAUAUAGAGGCAGGUUGGGGAUUAUAUGACAUUCUGCUUUGUUUAGCAAGCCAGUCUUAUUAUUUUCAGAUGUAAACAGACUAUUUUCCACAGCUGCCUAUAUCUGUAAAUUAAAUUUUACUGAUGUCCAGCUAUUCCCAUUCAUUUAUAUACUCUCUAUUGUGGUUUAGGCAUUAUAUGGCAGAGUUGAGCAGAUGACACAGACACUUUAGCCUGCAAAACCAAAAUACUUAUUCUUGGCCUUGUUACAGAAAAAGUUUGCUAAAUUCUUUCUUUCUCUCUUGGCCUGUCAUCUUGGGCUUCCUACUAAUGGGCCUAGAUGGCUUUUUAACCUCUAGUCAUCAUGUUCUCCAUCCAACCAUCAGGAAUAAGGAAGAACAGAGAGAGGGCACUUUGCUUUCUUUAAAAUACUUCUCCAAGGAAUCUCAAUUACUUUUGAUCCUGCUAUUAUUUCCACAUCCAUGACUAGCUGUAAGAGCAUAUUGGAAAUUUAGGUGGGUAGGAGCCCUUCUAAAAACUGGAUUCUCUUCAGAAGGGAAAAGGAGAAAAGGCAUGUUCUGAAAGACUAGAUAGCUCUAGCACAGAGUCAGUAUCUUAGUAGAAAAGACCAUUAGCCUAGAUAUAGCCCUGAGCCUCAAUCUUUUGCUUUUUAUUAAAUUUAUUUAUUUAUUUAUUCUAAUUAGGUGUAUAUGACAUCUGAAUACAUUUUGAUUCAUUAUAUACAAAUGCAGCAAAAUUUUUUAUUUCUCUGGCCGUACAUGAUGUAGCGUCCUACCAUAUGUGCAGUCAUACAUGUACCUAGGUUAAUGAUGUCCAUCGCAUUCCACUUUCUUUCUUGCCCCCAUACCUCCUCCCUCCCCUUUGCCCAAAGUUUCUUCAUUCUUCCCAUGCCCAGCCCCAUUAGGGCCAGGGAUAUAGCUCAGAGAUUGCCUCGCAUGCAUGAGGCUCUGGGUCCCAUCCCCAACACCACACACACACACACACACACACACACACACACACACACACAGAGAUCAACCAUAGCAAUAGUUAAAAAUACAAAUAACAUUUCUCACUUCUAAUCCUUGACAAUCAAAACCCCUAGACAUGGCUCAGGAAAAUGAGUCUCAGUCUUCCUGAGAACUGUAGAAUCUGGAUAGGCAGAACUCUUCAGGACCAGGCAAAGACUAUAAGAACCAAUUAGAGUUCUUCUUUCUCACUUCAAAUAUCUCACAGCAAUUAGAAAUAUGUAGAUCAGUAAAAAAUCUCUAUCUUCCUUUAUAAACAGAGUGAUUUCUAAGUUCACUAGGUCUCAUUUUCUGCUUAAUUUAAAAGACUGAUUAAAGUUUUACCUCUCAUAAUUGAGAUCAAUGUAGCAUAAUCUCUUGUUCUAAUUGGAUUUCCAAGGGUUUGCAUUUGGAAAGGAAUUGAAAUUCAGGCAAGUUAUCAAUGGCACACUUUUCAGAUUGUGACAACCAAUAGAUACUAUUUUUCUGAAUGGGAAACACUUUAAAUGUUGUUUCUACAUGAGUUUUAGCCAAAAUAGCCAUAGAAGAAAUAAGAAUGAGAAAAUUAAACAUAUGUUUUAAUUUGGGACUAGACACAGGAGUGUCAGAGUAGAAUGUAUGUAUACUUGCAUAAGGCACUAAAUAAAUUUAAGAGAAAAUGUGUAGUAUUUCUUUCACUUAUUUUUUUUAAUUUGCCUACAAAAAGUGAAAUAAAUAUGAGAUUGUUUUUCUGUGAAUUUUCAAAAAUCUGAGUAUAAAAUAAUGGGAUAAAUUAAUUAAGCAUGCAUUUUAUAUUUACAAAGUCCAUCACUAGGUUACAAAAAAAGAGUAAAGAAUAUUAUAUUUCAAAUAAAUAGGCCCAGAAGCUUAUUGAUUUAUUCACAUCAAUGUCAUUCUGUUUCCAAACUGUGCUCAUAUUUGAGCAGAACAAAUGGGAACUUUUUAUAAGAUUGCAAAACUCCAAUGUUUAGUUUUCUUUGCUUUUUAGGCUUUUUAUUUUUUAAUUUUUUUCUGAUACCAGGGAUUGAACCCAGGGUCACUUAACUACUGAGUCAUAUACCCAGCCCCUUUUUGUAUUUUCAUUUAGAGACAGGGUCUCACUAAGUUGCUGAGGGCCUCAUUAAGUUACUAAGGCUGGCUUUGAACUUGCUAUCUUCCUGCCUCAGCUUCCCAAACUGCUGGAAUUACAGGCUUGUACCACUACACCUGGCUGCUUUUCAAUUUUUAAUCUGUUUGAUGUAACUAUCACUCUGGUUGUAUAGUUCUUUGUUUUGAAAGAUGCAUGGAUCAUAUGACUUCUGCUACAAUCAAGACACAGAACUCUUCCAUCACCCCCAAAAUGAUCUUGUUAUGUCACUUUGAAUUCAUUCCUUGUAGUUUCCAGGGUAGGUAGCCUGUGAGUUUUUCUUAUUAAAUUUAGCAUAAUUCAUUUAAGAUUCACCCAUAUUAACACACAUAAUAAUAAUCUUUUUCUUUUUACUGCUGAGUAGUAUUUACUCAUAUGGAUAAAAAUUCAUUUGUAUAUCCAUCCCCAAUUGAAGGGCUUUUCAGUUGUUUUCACUUUUAUCAGUUAUGUAUAAAGACUGUCUACACAUGUACAGAUUUUCACUUGGACAUACAUUUUUAUUUCUUUGGGAUCAGUAGUUAAAAUAUAUUGUUGGAUCAUUAGGGUAAAAAUAUUAUUAAUUUGAUAGUAAAUUGCCAAACAGCUAGAGUGCCAUUUGCUUUUGUACUAGCAAUUUAUGAAUGUCCCAGUUACUUCACUUCCUCCCCAGUUCUUGGUAAUGUCAGGAUUUAGAUUCUCCUUUCCUGCUCUCCCCUAACUUCCUUUCCUCUGUCUUCUCUUCCACUCUCAGGUUUCACUAUUGUAAAUCCUUUUAAUUGGCUCUGGCACGCCUUUGAAAUACAUGUAUCAAGAUGCUUUCUAAAUAACUUCCUUACUUUCUGGCACUUUAAUAUGUUUCAGCCUUAUUUUAUAUACUUCCUGUCCCAAUUCUAGAUUCUUGCCCAUUUUUAAUUGGUCUUUUUAUUUUCCUGUUUUUGAGUUUUAACAGUGCUUUUUUUUUCUUUGAUAAUGUCUUUAACAGAGAAAGAAUUUUAAUUUUGAUGUAUCCUUUGCUCAUGGGUCAUGCCAUCGGUAUUCUAAGAACUCCUUGCUCACUCAAUAUCAAAAAUAUUUUCUAAUUUUUUUUUUUUUUGCAAAAACAUUAGGAUAGUAAUUCUACAUACUUAGGUAUAUGAUUUACCAAGAUAUUUUUAAAUUUCUAUAUUGUAAGGUGUAGAUCAACAUUUGUUUUGUAUACAUGAAUAUUCAAUCAUUCCAGCAUCAUUUCCUUAGUAGAUUUUUCCCCAUUGAAUCAUAUUUAUUUAUAACCUUUUCAAAAAUUAGCCAUAUGUGUUUGAGUCUAUUUCAAAGUUCUCUAUUUUGUACCAUUGAUCAGUGUGUUUUAUUUUUCAUCUUUAUCACUACACUGUCUUAAAUACUGCAGUAAGUAUUGAAGGUAUUUGUGUGAGUGUUCUAGGUUUUAUUUCUUUUUUAAAUUCAAAAUGUAUUGGCUACUCUAAUUUCUUGUCUUUAUUUGUAAAUCUUACAAUCAGUUUUUCAAUAUCAUUAAAUAUCCUUCUAGGAUUAUGAUUUGGAAUAUGUUUAAUUUAUAGAUAAUUCCAUGGAAUUUGACAUUUUUUUACAAAAUUUUCUUCCCAUCCAUGAAACUAGUAUAUAUUUUUCUCAAACUUAUUUGUUUAUUUCCAUUUCUUUUACUUUUUAACCUGAAGGCUCGUUGCUUGGAAUCAGUCCAGCACUAGCUUUCAUUCUUAUUAGUACUGUAGAAUUAGGUGCUAGAAUAGCCCCUUGAUAAUCCUCAUUGCUGAUAUUGUCCAUGUAGUAAUUAUCUGCUUUUUUAAUUUUAUGAACAUAUUUUUGCAUUCCAUGUCUCCUAAGUGUUACAUACUAUUUUUGGAAGUUUUUUUUUUUUUUGCCUUCUCGGUCAAUGUUUAAUAGGGAGACUUGUCCAAAAACUUCCUUUAAGAAGUCUACAGGUAUUGGACGUAUUUAUUUUUUUCAGUAUUUCAUAGGCAAAAUCUAUAUGUCACAAAUAAUGAACACUGAAUAAAAGCUUGAGGACUAGAUGUGUCUCUAAGGUUCAGUAUUUUAUCAUUGAUAUGUAUGGCUCAUUUACAGGUAUACUCCUCCAACUGCUUUUCAUGGGUUGUAGGUUUUUAUGAUGAUGAUAGAGGGUGGUGAAGAAUAAUAAAACAGGGAAGUAUUUUACAAUGUCAUUGGAGUCUAAACUUUUGGCAAAAAGAAAUUAACUCACUUGAGUUAGAUAUCAGACAUGCAUUGCUUUCAAAGCCAGUUAUUGUAGGGCUGGGAGUCUUAUAAACAUUAUUAUACCAUCUGAGAUUUUUGUACAAAGAUAUCUUUUAUAUGUUAUCUUAAAACCUCAGUGAGGUAAGCUAUAAAUGAAGGGGGACAAGUAGUUGUAAUGAUAGCUACUAGUAAAGCCCAGAAUCUUCUGACAUCAAAGAAAUCAAUUUCUAACACAAUUCUGUGUGAGUGAGGAUAUGAAUCGUGGAUAUGUUAAUGUUCUUUCCCAUAGUCACACAAAAAACAUAAAGCUAGAUCUUAUCUUUCCAUCUUCUUUCACCAUAAUAAAAUAUUUCUUGUAUUUUUAUUUAAAAAAUAAAUAGUCUUGAAGAUUCAAGAUCCACAAUGAUCAUGAAAGACAUAUAGAACAAACUAGACAUCUACUCAUUUAUGUAGCAGUGUCUCACACAGUUCUAAUAUUUAACUGAACUUCUGGUAUGUAUCAGGCACAGUUUGGGGCCCUGGAAGAGCUAAUGAGCAGACAGAAUUUCCUGCUGUUAUAUGGCAUGAAAUCUGAUUAGAAAAACUGAGCACAAAUGCAGUAAUUAAUUAAGCAUCUACUGUAUCAGAUAAAGAUAAAUGCUAUGGAAAUAGAGAAGGAAAAUGUGGAGGGGAGAUAGUAAGUUUUAGAGAUUAUAUUUUUAGAAUUAGGUGGCCAAUAGAAGGUUUUGCUAAGAAGGUGAUAUUUGAAUAAAUUACUGAGAAGAUAAAGGAGUAAGCAGUUUGGAAGUGUAGAGAAAAGAAUUUGUAGACUGAGGGAGAAGCCAGCAGACAUGUGUGUGGUCCCCAUAUACCUAUGUUGUUGAAGGACUAACAAGAAGGUUCUUUGUGCUCAAAUAAAGGGAGUGAGAAUGAGCACAGUGAGGAAGAGUUGGAGGAAGUGUCAUAGGUGAAUAGGGGGUGGUGAACUCAUUUAUAUGACUUUUUUUGGGCAUUGUAAGGAGUUUGUGUUUCUCUGCGAAUUAAUAGAGAAGAUAGAUCUGAGCAAAAAGCAGACUCGGUUCUUAAAUUGAUUCUUAAAUUUUUGGCUAAAAGUCAAGUGGGGGAAAGAAACUUUGAUCAAAUAAUCGUGAAAAUGAAUAUAAAAGCAAAAGUGAUAGAGGCUAAAAUGAUAACCACUCAAGUGGAUCAGGGUUAAUUAUCAAAUAAAAACUGAUAUUUGAUCUUGGAUAUGAGAGAUCAGUAGAUGUUGACUUGCUAAACAAUAUAAUGUUAAUAGUGAUGUUUUAUUGAGUGUUGCCUUCUAAGCAGCUGUGUUUUCAGCACUUACCACUGAUGAGCUCAUUUUAUCUUCACAGUAAUGCAAUAAGUGACACAUGGUUUUUAUAUUUUGUAGGUGAGGAAGCUGAGGAACACAGAGAUCAAGUAAUUUGCUCAUUUACUAUUUAGUAAACAAGAAAAAAAGGGAUAGGAAACCAAGAAAACCUAUCACAGCAAUGCUACUGAUCUUACAUGGAAAAAAAAAAAAAACAACAAAACCCUCCUGGAUCUUGACCUAUGAAAUUCCCUUACCACUCUUGUCUAUUGGCUCUAGCUGUCAUAUUUCAAUGCUUGCCUCUAAUUCACUCUGUAUCCUUUUCUCACCUUUCCCGCCAUUGUAGAUGAUUUUUAUGAAAUUCUGAAGAAAGGAUGAUCAUUCAGUGACCUCUAUUUGGUAAAUAAUUGCUCAUUAUUAUGUGGCAUCUUUUCCAAUUGAGAAGAGUUUUCAAUAAAUUGUUUAUGUAAUUUCAUGUUUUUUGAACUUUAAUUUUGGAAAUUGAUUAUAAGUCCAUAGAGGUUUGAGCAAAGUAAAAUGCAAAUGAGAUGAUUGCUUAUUUAUGCCUCAUAUAUUAUUGGGCACAAAGUCCUGCAAUAAUAUACACCAGACAUAGAACAAAACAGAAAGGGAUCCAGGAGUAAGAAGAAAUCUCUCAAAAAUCACUAGUGAUUUACACUUUUUUUACAAAUCUAUUGACUGUUAAGCCUAGGUUAAUACCCAAUAAAUCUAUUAUUUAUUAACACUGUUUUAUAGUAUUCAAAGUAGCAUAGGAGACAGCUAAACAGUAAGUAGAUAACUGAGUACCAAACAAGCAUGAAACUCCAAUAGAUGUUUGGGUGCAAGAACAACCUGAGAUCUAAGACAAGAGGUGAAAUAUUUAGUGCAAAAUGGAAGACGAACACAAAACAAUUAAAAGAGAAAAUGCCAGCCAAGUUGCUUUCUGCCAUUACCCCUUCAGUUCUCUGUGGUGCUUGUGAGGCAGAGCUUUCCUAUGGACAGGUUAUCCAUAACACCUGGAAAAUGUGAACUGCACAGGACAAAAGGAUAAUUUCUGUCCUUUUUGGCUCUUAGAUUACUAGCCAAUUGGAUGUUAUUAAGUCUCACAGGAGAGUUCACUGCUUCUGCCCUGGGCCUGCUCUCAGCUUCACUAGGACUCUAUCUAAUGCAUCCCUUCUUUGGGGUAAAAAUUUCCUGUUGUUUAAAAUGAAUGAAUUGAACCUAACUGUUUCUGAUACUCUGUACUUUAUGUCCUUCCCUGUCUUAUGUACAAGUAGAAUUCUGUGCAGAAGUUGAAUUUUUCUUUUUCCUUCCUCUUGAAGAAGUGUACAUUUACUUGUGCCCAUCUGUGAUGCAGCACUGCUCUAUGGCAAGUUCUGCUACAGUCAAAUGUGCUGCAUGGAAGCUGGCUAUUUCUGAGGUUUAGUGUUAAGAUGUUAUAAUCCCAAAUACAACACACUUCAAGUAACGCAUCAAUAAUACAGGGAUUAUUUCACUCUCCUAAGAGUUUAUAAUUCUUGGCCUGACAAUUUCUUUUGUCAAUGUUGAGAUUUUAAUUCAUCUGAAGUUGAUUUGGUUUUCAAAUUGAUAAGAUAUAGACGUUUUAUUUGAAUCAUUUCCUUUCUUGAAAAUAAAAUAAUGGUAUUUCUAAGAGUUGGUGGAAUCUUUGGUCUGGUGGAAUAUAAUAACAUAUUAACAAUUGGCUUUGAAAUGUGGUAUCUAGUAGUGCAAAUAUUUGUCCCUUCUAAUGCUAUGUUCUGGGAUUAAUAAGAAUAUGCUGUUUCCAAGAAUGGCAAGUACUCAUUUGGAGCCUGGCUACAUUUGAAAAUGAAUUUCACAGUCCAGCCAAGUUUGCCAUGUUUUCUACCAAAGGAUAAUUAAAUGGCUUCACUUUUAAGAUUGUUUUUGCAUUGCUUCUGGAUGAAAACUGCCCCUGCAUACCACUCAUCCCCAUGUUUUUAAUUCAUAAAAAUGCCAUUUGUACAAAUAGAGCAAAGGCCCAAGGGCUUCUAAAUGAGGCUGUUAAUAGGACUUGUCAAUUAACUUCAGUGCAUUGAAUGAAAUAUAUUAUGUGCUUAAUGAUCUUUAAUGCUCUCAGCUCAAUCAUAACAAAGAAUCCAACAUGUAGAUUUGUAGCAGCUGGUGGUCUCCAUUUGUCUCUUCUUUUGAAAGUAGAACGUUCAUUUAAUAAAAGCUGCUGAAACAAUGGUCUUCAUGCCCUGUGUGUAUUCCUGAAGUUUCUGAAAAGAAACAAACACGUGGCAGAUAACAUUUUUCAAGGUUUUAGUACAUAUUUGGUGGAAAGCAGAGAAUAGGUUAGGUUCCAGCAAGUGAUGGGAGAGAGUAACAUGACGUGAUGUUGGGAGUUUGUGGCUUUAGCAUUGGUUUCUGUGGCAACUGACUUUCCUAUAGUUACAGCAGAAUGUGAGCAAUAUAGGAAAACACCUAUAGGAAAGAUACCUGCACAUAGACUUAAAAACUGUCAACUAUGAUUGUGCCAAAUAUUAGAGGGCUAACAUAGAGUGAGGGAAACAACAGAAUAUUAUAUAAGAAACAAAUAUGAGAGAUAUAAAAUUCCCUGAAAUAGACUAAAAGAUGGUUGUGCAGUUAGUAUGAAAAAGAUAGAGUUACUCUUUAGAGAGUCCUCAGCUAAUUUCUUAUUUACUUGUAAACCAAAAUUUAGAUCUUUCCUUUUAGAAUACACUAGUAUAAGUGUCACAUGUCUAAUGCAGUUAAAUGUCAAAAGUAAAAAAUAAAAAUAAAACAUCUGUUGUAUAGGGCACAUACAUGAUCCUCAAAUAUAGGAGGCCUUUGUCAAUAUUAAAAAGAUUUAUCAACUGAGUUGUAUAAGAUAUUGUGUGGCAAUUUCUAGCGGGGCUUCUAGUUCAGGAUAAUAAAUGAGUAGCUAUUUCUCUCCUUUACUUCAAAAUUACCUCUGAAAGAAAAAAAUAAAAGAUAAGUCAUUCAUAUAUGUGCCAAUAAUGGGAAGUGAGAACAUCAGUGGAUUAUAGAUUUGACAAGUUUCUGGAAGAUGGAGAGUGGAUUGAAUCAUGGUAGGCAAUUUGGAAUGACCACAGUCCAGUCUGGCUGCUGAAGGCUGUUGUACAAGUAAGAACUGGCAAAGCCACCAGGUAACCACAGACCAGAAUUCACAGCUUGACAGAUUAUGAGUAGUAGUGAUGACAAAGGCUAAGAAAUUAAAGAAAUGUCUAUCUGGAAAGAUUUCUUCCAAAAUAUGAUGAAUAUUACAGCAAAUACACUUCCUGCAAAAAAAAAAAAAAAAAAGGAGGAGGAGGAGGAGGGAAUAAACUGCUUAGAGAAAUGCUGGUGCCAUAGGAAAGUUUUCCUUAUUUUGCUUUUAGAGUAAGAAGUGGGAGAAUUGAAGAGGCCAAACCUGUGUUUUCUACACUCAAACAACCUAUCCUGAAACCUGGCAAUGUGAUAGACCCAAUCCGCAAUUGACAGAAAUUAUACUGCUCAGAUAAAGAUGGCUGACAAAUGAACUAGGACUUCUCAGAUGACAAAGAAGACUAUCUUCCUGCUCCUAAUUCAUACAUAUGGAUAGGCAGACAUGUUAGGGCAUUACAUUGUUAGAGUAACAGAAUACAUACAUCCCUUUUAAAAACAACAUUGGAUUUUGACAAUUACUAAAUAAAUAACAACAAUGAAAAAGAGAAACAUAUUCCGUUUUGUGUAAGACUAGGAAAUAUAAUGAAUUACAAUGUAUGAAGAUUAGAAUAUAGGAUGGAGUGGAAUCUAGCAUAAAAACUUGAAAUAAAUGAAAACAGAACAGAACUCCUCAGAAGGAAAUAGGAAUAAAUAUUCCAAUUCAAGCAACAUGCAACUGCAAAGCUUCAGGUGGAGAAUAUCAGGUGCUUCAUGUAUGAAGAUGUGAGGAAAAAAAAAAGAAUAGCGUUACCUUAGACUAAGUGGAGAGAAGUGAUUGGAGAGGAGGGGAGGGGAUGNUUGAGAGGUAGAUGUUUUGGUAAGUGAUUUAGAUAUUUCUCAAAAAUGGGAUCAAUGCCUUUAAAGUAGACUGAAGCAUGUUUGGUGUGCUGCUUCUGCCACGUGAAGGCACAAAAGCAAGGUGUCAUGUCUGAAACUUUUAUUAGACACCAAAUCUACUGGGGCUCUGAUGUUGGACCUCCUAGAUGCCAGAAACAAAAGCAAUUAGUUUCUCUUAUUUACAAAUCAUCUAGUCUAAAUUAUCUUGUUAUAGCAGCCUGAAUAGACUAAGACCAAAAAAAUGAAGCUGUAGGGAAAAAACCUUAUUUUAUUUUAUUUGCCCUAAACCUCAGCCUAAAGCCCAGAUGCACGUCAUCUGAGGUCAUGAGAUGUACUGUGGCAACUGGCCCUACAUCACUGCCUGACAAAAUCUGAGGCUAACUCCUUUUGUAGCAGGAAAAUAUCAUAAAGAACUUCAAAUUAAUUAUUUGAUUUAUUUCAACUCAGAUCAGUUAUCUAUUACAAAUCCAUAAUUAUGUUCUCUUUGAGGACUGUGACAAUACUACCUAAAAUUACAACACUUUCCCCCAGAUUUGCUUUAUUUUUCUACUUAGGCCUUGCUGAUAGCACAUAAAUCACUUUCAUUUUUAGAUUGUUUCCUGUCUCUCUCACUACAGUGUACACACUGGGAAAGCAGGGGUGGUUUGUUUGUUACUGUAUCCCCCAAAUCUAGGUCAGUGCCUGGCCUGGAAUUAUUUGACAAAUAAAAAAUAUCCAUUGCCAUUCAUAUGAUAUGCCAUUCAUGUGGUUACAGGACUUGAGAGAAAUACAUCAACAGUCUAACAGUGAUUACAUCUUAGUGGGAGACUGUAAUUUUGUUUCCAGAGUUUUUUUUUUUUUUUAAUUUCCAUGUAUUCUACCAUUGCCACAUAUUAUUUCUGAAAGUGUCUUAUAAAUAUAUUAUUUUGUUGAAAGCCACUAAAAUAGAAAUUAUAAAGUUUAUUCCCCCUUACAAUUUCAAUGUUCAAACUCAGAAAUAAAUUACAAAAAAUUACAUGUGAUCUUUUAGUACAGUCAUGCUGGUAUAAUCACAUAAUCUCCUGUGUUCUCCAUUUUGACACACUAUAAGCUGGCCAGGUUAUAUGACUGUGGUGAUGGCACAGAGCCAGGUUAGCCAGACUGCGAAUUACUCCCUCCAGCCUGUUCAUACAGUCCAGGAUUCUAUUAUGUUGCACAAUGCCUCAAAAAUACAGACACUGUUAAGACAGAAAGAGGCUUUGUUCCUGACAUCUAUUUCAUGGGCUCCUACGUGUUCUAACAUCCAAUGUCCAUUUUUCUCCAUAGGCAUUGAGCAUUGUAAAAUAUUUAAUUUAAUUGAAAAUAAAACCUGUAAUUAAUAACCAGUGAUUAAUCAUAUUUAAUGUCUUACCAAUAGAUGGCUUCUGUAACUUCAUUGACUGGCUAUAAUUAUAGCAUACAAUAGAAGAACAUAAAGUUGGGAGUGGACCAAAACGUUGGAAUAGAGAAAUUCAAUUUCCUGUUUUCUCCAAGGCAUGAAAACAAGAAAGCAGACAGGCAGCUUCUCAGCAAGGGAAUUAGGAAUCCUGAUAUUCCCAUUAAUGGGCAAAUGCACAAGUUUCUUCUGAGUGUUAAGGAGACCACAUCCUGUCACUUGUGGAAUGUUAUCUCUUCCAGCAGUGGAAGAGAUAAGAAUGUGUUGCAAAGAGGUCUGGGCAGUGCCCCCAGUGUGGAAAAUAGUAGGAGCAAGAACCUUAGCCCUUGGAGCAAUGAUGGGGUAGAGAUGGCAGCAGUCAAGGAAUCCACAGAGCAGACUAAUACUAGCAGAUAGUAUUGAGAGAAGAAAUUCCCCACCUGAGGAGUCUGACCAGGCAGUAGCAUGGCCACAGGAGAGGGAGACACCAGUCAUGGCAGGAGAGGUGGAAUCUUCAGAAAAGUGCGUCUGGACAUGUAGAAUCUGUGGGUGAAUGUAGGAGACCAACCUUGCACGUGACUGAGUCACACUCCCUGGCUGGGUGCUGAGGUGCUCAGUGGCAGAAAUGUGGCAGAGCUUUCACCAGACUUCUUGGGUUCGAGGGUCAGUGUCUUCUGCAUGGGUGUGUCUUGCUACAGCCCCAUGGGUGAAGCUAUGCUCACCUGUUCCUUUGUAAUAUAACCCCUUUCCCUGUUUAGGAUAGAAUCUUCCAUGGAAGUGCCUUGUGUGUGUCCCCUGCUCUUACUGUGCCCUUGGGUGUGGCCUACCCAGGUGUCAGUCAACCUGCUGACAGUGGACAACAUGAAGAUGGACUCAGCCCCCUGAAACCUGACCCCUUGCCUCAUUUGAAUAGCUUCUCCUCAAUAAAAGAGGGUCAGCACGUGUUCUCGCUCUCUCUCUUUCUGCGAACCCUUAAGGUCAGAGGAGCCAUCACAGCGACCCCAAAGAAAAAGAUAUUUGUGUCUCUUGUGUGGUUAUUUUGUGCAGCCCAAUUACUCCAGUUUAACUGGAGUGACCCCUGAGACUUUUAGUCUCGAGAACAAAAACUCGGCCAGUGAAUGUCCCAAUUCUGCGGCUUCAGUGGGAGUUACUGGGGUGAAGGUUUGGUAUGAUGGUCUCUCAGGUCUCACCUGUCAGGAUCAGAGGGACUGAACUGCAAUGGACAUUGGGGACCAGACAUGUAACAUCAGGUGUGCAGCUUUCAGAUUCCGUUUACCACUUUAUGGAACAAAUUUUGUGGGUCAUUGAAUUCAUGAUGGCAUCUUCACUUAAUUAUGAUGACCCAGUCACUGAGCCACCAUAGAAGACUCAGUAUCCUCCCCCUUGAGCUCCCUUGCUUCCCAAUACUGUAUCCACAAUCCACCUUCUCCCACAUCUGCUUUCUGAAGAGGAAGUUUCAUCGGUCAUUUCCACCAGGGAAAAGGAAUCGUACUGUACGUUCACUAUCCAGAACCUGCACUUUCUCUACCCUUUUGCUGAUGCAAGUAAGGAUGAGGAUCUGCUUCCUGCUGGCACAGAAGAUCAAAUCCAUUAAAAAAAAAAAAAAAAAACAGAAACUAGUGAAAGCAUUUAAGGAGAAAUUUACCUGCAAUGGUACUGGAAUUGAGAAUCCAGAAUAUAGAGAAGAAAUUCAGCUACUGGGUAAAUAGCACAAGAGCAGAGAUUGGACCGAUCAAGGAUGAUCAGCUGAAGGUUCAUGGGUUUUCAAUGUGUGUGGCUCACUGAAGCUUAAGUGAGGAUUUCCUUGCAAUGAGUACAAUUUCUCGUGUCCCUUGUCACAAGUUUAAAGCUCUCACAGCUUUUUUUAUGUAACCAUUUUGGAUCCACUAUAAACUUGGGACUAAUAUAACUCCUUCAUGCAAUAAACUGAAAAAAAUCUAUGCAGUCUAGUCUUGAAGUUUCUCAUUUAAACAGACAUCAGGCAAUAGGUGCCUUGCAGUGUCCACCCUGAAACAAAACAAUAAUAUGAUGUUUCAGCAAAACCCAGAGCCCCAAGAUCACAGGCAUCUGUUUCUGGCCAGAAGCUCCUUAGCUCUCCCUGAGCAGAGUCCCCUGCCCUAAGAGUGUCAUGACCUGAACAAUAAAGAGAGGAUGAGAUAAGGCAACAACAGCAGCUGUACCACUAGAGGGAAUUUUUGGUAAUAAAAAGAGCUCAUAGUGUCUCUAACCUGAUCAGGUGGGCAGAUUUCAGAGACUACCUUCCUUCUAGUGAGAUGAUGCAGCAUCUGGCUUUCCACCAAGGUCUUCUUUUGGACUAGACAUCUUCUAGCUAAGGGGUGUCCAAAACACCAGAAUGUGAAGCCAGCCGAAUAUUGAUACUGGCGUUGAGAAUCAGGUUUGAGUCCCGUUCCCCAAGGUGCUGAAGAUUGAACACCCAAGAAACACUGAGGCAAUGCAAAAUGUUUUAUUUAAAGGAGACAGAGAGAGGCAGACAGAAACUCCUCUACAGAGGAGGGCUUCCAAGUUGGUGCCUGAAGGAGUGUGGGUGUCCUGACUUUUUUAUGGAUUUCAGAUUUUCUUUGUUCUCAUGCCCCCCUCCUCCGGAUACAUUGCCUAUGUGACCAGUGACCAAAAUGUGGAGUGACCAGCGUCAGGAAGAGAGUCAUCCAGGGGUUAUUCAUUAACAACUUCAUGUAGGGAGGAACAAUUCGCUGGAGGCAGGUAACGGGGCAAAAGUUUGGAGGAGAGGGAAGUGCUCUGGAGGUAUUAGCAUUUUAUUUCCUCUUGAGUAUGUCCCAUCUUCCUGACACAAUCAUUCACUACCUACACUGUCCUUUGCCCCCCCAUCCUCAAUAUCAGUUAAUUUUUUUGAGGGAGGUACUGGGGAUUGAAACAAGGGCACUCAACCACUGAGCCACACCCCCAGCCCUAUGUUGUAUUUUAUUUAGAGACAGGGUCUCACUGAGUUGCUAAGUACCUCACCAUUGCUGAAGCUGGCUUUGAACUCAGGAUUCUCUUGUCUCAGCCUUCCUCCCAAACCGCUGGGAUUAGAGGCAUGUGCCAUCAUGCUUGGCAUCAGUUAAAUUUUUGAAAAGGGAACAAAUACAAGCUGUUGUUAUCAGUCCUGUAACUAGCUAUAGAGCUUGCAACUUACCUGCAACUCACUAGCUAACCAGUGCCAAGUGAAGUAAUAAAUUGGUUUAUGGUUUUCUUUUUAACUUCUAGUUUUAAUAUUACAUAAUGUAUUUAAAACCUGAUAUAAAUAAAACUUGUUUUCAGGGGAGAAAAACAAAGCUUUAUUGACUUGUACAGCUAGAUACAUUAUCUACAAUUUUUUUUUAAAUACGAGCAAUAUCUUCCAGAUUAAUGUUAAUGUUUUCAUGGGUACUUCCAUCUGUGAGGACAGCUCUUGAUUCUUAUUCUCCUCUCUGCCAUCCUGCAUAGGCUAUGAAAUUUAUGUUUCCCUUGAGUGAAAUGAGCUGUCUGAGAAAAAUGGCAAAAAAAUCACACAACACAGAAAUAAUUUUGAAAAGUGAGGGUGAGACAGUGUUGUGACCUUAGUGGUCCUGUUUCCACACUGGAAGAAGAGAGAGAGAUAGGAGCCUAGUUUGCUUUAUUUAUACAAGGGUCUUCAAAGGAUUUCAAUGGAAUGUUCUUUUGCCAAAUAAAGUAGGAGGGGGGCAGUCCAAGCCCAACAGGUAAUGCCCUAGUCCAAAGCUACAGAGCAAUCUCUCUAGUCCAGCGAAGACUGAGGUCAUCACGUGAUUUGCAUAAUAAGCCACAAAAUGACUUGCAAUGCCAAACCAAAAUCUCCUUGGCUCCAAGGCCCAGUAGAGGCUAUUCAAAUAGCCCAGAGGUGGCCCCCUACAGAAGGCCAUUUGGAAAUUAGAUGAAGUAAACUUCUCAGUCCAAUUUAUAGAAUACUGUCAUUUAGGCUUCUGACCACCACCCUUUCAUUACUCUUCCACAUCACAUACUGGCAAAGUCUAGAAGAUGACACAAGGAGUGGAAAGUGUUUCCAUAAGAAAAUGCCUAUUGCAUCUGGGGUCUAGUGAUCCUCCAAGAAAAGGUCAGCUCCCAUCUGUUUGAUCAUUCUACAUUUAAGCUUAUCAGUCAGAAAAACCGUAGCCUUCUAAUCACUCUCAAAUGUAUUUAUACAAAGUGAACCUAAAGGAAAGAAAGAUGGAAGAGAGUAAGGGAGGGAGCAGAAGAAGAAGAAAGGAAAGAAAGAAUAAAAGCAAAGUCUCUCCAAGUCAUUUAAGGCAUUUUGACAAAGCUCCUAACAUGAAAGUUGUAGAACAAAGCAAAUUCCAAAAACACAAAUAUAUCACAGACUAGAUGAAUAUGUCAACAGUGUGUUUUAAUUUACAUGCACAAAAUAUAUUUCAUUGAUGAAAAUAAUAGGGUGCUAUUAAAAAUCAAAAAAAAAUGUAUUAAAAUGAGCAAAGUAUUGAAAAAGAACUAUUAUAGGGCUGGGGAUGUGGCUCAAGCGGUAGCGCACUCGCCUGGCAUGCGUGCGGCCCGGGUUCCAUCCUCACACCACAUACAAACAAAGAUGUUGUGUCCGCCGAUAACUGAAAAAUAAAUAUUAAAAUUCUCUCUCUCUCUCUCUCUCUCUCUCUCUCUCUCUCUCUAAAAAAAAGAAAACAAAAGAAAAAGAACUAUUAUAAAAAGUAAACAGAAUGAGGUAAGAAAAAGUCAAUAUAUUUCAGUAGGCAAUCAAAAAAGAUGAGAUUGAUUUUAUGUGAGGAAAAAGUGUAAAAAAAAAUUUAAUUAAAAUAAAAGGCAAAUCAGACAAAGGGGCACAACCUACCAGUAAGCAUCCUAGUAAAAUCAAGGAAAACAAAGGAAAGGAAGAAAGAAAUAAUAGAAAAUUUUCUGGAACUGAAGAACUUCAGGUAUAAACUGAAAGAGCCAUAGUGUUCCUGUUGCUUAUUCCCACGAAUGAAAUAAACCCAUCAUUAGUAUUAGCAAAGUAAUGGGUAAAAAUCUAAUUUGCUAGAGGAAAUAAUACUUAAUAAGAUUCAAAACUCAUUAUCUAAAGUAUAUAUUAACAUGUUAAUGUAUAAAAUCUUUUUUUAUUGUUGUUUUAUUUUGUGUUUUGGUACUAGGGAUUGAACUCAGGGGUACUCGAACACUGAGCCGUAUCCCCAGCCCUAUUUUGUAUUGUAAUUAGAGACAGGGUCUCAUUAAGUUGCUUAGCACCACACUUUGGCUGAGGCUGGCUUUGAACUUGUCAUCCUCCUAACUCAGCUUCCUGAGCCACUGGAAUUACAGGUGUGCACCAUUGUGUCAGGCCCUUAUGUAUAAAAAUCUUAAUUUUAUGGAGGAAGAAAGAAUAUUCUGCAAGAUUUAAAACUGAAUAUAAAAAAUUCAACACUUAUUUAAAAAAAAAAACUUGAAUUAAACUAAGAAUGGGAGGAAAUGUCUCUAAUCUACUAAAAACAAUUUAAAUAUUACCCCAUUCUAAAAGUGACCUUUUAUGAUAAAAAAAACAAAAUAUAGUUAGAAAUAACUUUGUCAUUAUAUUUAAUUUGCAAUUCUAUUAGGCAAUGUUAAAAAAAUUAAAAACUGGAAAAAUUGUGAACAUAAAAUAUUAUAUCUUGUAAAUUAAAUAUUAUGGUUAUUUGUAUAGAAGGCACAUGAUAAUACAGAACAAACAAUAGCUAUAGAAUUCAGAAAUAUAGUGGAAACAUUUUAACAAGUAAAACUUUUUAGUAAUUUUUAAAUACUUUUAUGUACUUGUAGUUUAAGAAUUAUAAUUACUCAAGACUGAGCAAAUAUAAAUUUGCAAUGACCUUAUGGUGAAAAUGUCAAAGUGCUAUUAAAGGGCUUGGAAGAAAAGUCAUAUAAUUAUGAGAUAUAUCCACAUAUAUACAAAGUCUUGCUAUUAUAGUGAUGUGAUUUGCCCAAAAGUAAACCUAAAAAAUUCAGUGUUAUUUCAAUCACAGAGCUAAUUAGACUAGAAAUCUAAUUCUUAAAGUAAUUUGAAAAAAUUAAUGACAAAUCCAAAGUGAACAAAUAUUUAGGAAAAUGGGAACUUAUAGAUACUGUUGAUAGUUUCAGUUGGUAUAGUUACUUUGCAGAAGAGGUUUGUAAGAUCAAGUCAAUUUUCAGAUGAACAUAAGUAUCACCUGAGAUUACAACAUAGCUUUUUAGAUGCUUAAGAAGUCUAUGAUCUAAUUACAAAAUUGUUUAUAAUAACAAACGGCUGAUCAAUAUAAAUAUCCAUCAGCAGAAGAAUAUAUAUAUAUAUAUAUAUAUAUAUAUAUAUAUAUAUAUAUAUAUAUAUAUAUAUAUAUAUAAUCUAUUAUGGUAUAUUCAUAAGGUAUAAACCAGAGAGCAACUCAACUAAAUAAAAAAGAGAAAUAUAUCAUAUGGGAAUGAGUAGGCAAGAUCCAGAAUGAUAUAUAAUGCAUGAUAGAUUUAAUGGCAUGCAAAACAACAAUAAAUACUGUUUAUAGAUAUGUACAAAUGUAACAUGCUGUGAAAACAUUUAAUGCAAAGACCCAUAUCAUUUCUAUAAUGGUGGUUAUCUCUAGGAGAAAAAGUACAUUGGGACGGAAAGGAAUAUAAAAUGUUUUUUAUCAGUCACGUUUGACUUCAAAAUAGUUUGGAAAGAAUUUGUUAAACAUAAGAAUUGAUUAUGUAUGUUUAUUAUAAUACUCUAUUAUUUUCUGAACAUGAGAAACUUUUAAUUAAAAUUUAUCAAAAUAUAUACUUGAGUUAUUAUUUUCCUAGUUUCUACUUUAAACUAUUUAAAACACAUUGCUCUUUUGGUUGCAUUAAAGUCCUUUUGUAAAUUAGGCUUUAUACAAAAAGUAGCUAAACAUUACCAGAUGGGGAGGAGUUGAACAUUAGGUAUAUAAUGACAGCAAUUAAAGAGAGAGGUUUAAGAUAUUUUAUAGGUAGUGCAUUCUCUGUAAUGCAAGGAAAAAAAUAGUAGACAGAUGUCUCAUUAGCUAAUGCACCUCGUAUAUUUUUCUUCUGUAAUUUUUUGACAGCAUCACCCAGCAUCCCAAAUAAGCAUAAGAAUGAGUUUGGUUGUGAAAUGAAACAAAAUAUAGAGGGUUUGCUAUGGCUAUCUUUCAAUCUGGACAGAUGACAUUCAUUCACUGGAAAAUAUAUUGGGCUUGGUUAAAAUUGCAUGGUGAUUUAAAUAGGCUUGGCAUGUCUCCAGGGCCACUGGAGGGUUGUCUUCAGCUUUUGAGACUGAAUUUCCUGGAGGUGUUCCUUGGACUGGUGUGACUUAGUUUAUCUCUAUUCAUAACAUUAUCAUUUUUUUUACAUAAUCCCAUGUAUAUCAAUAACUUUCUAAUUAGAAUAUAACAGCAGCUAUUUAGUUUCAAAUCUCCAGGAAAGUGUCACCUUGUCAGGGAUUUUUAAUGUGCAUUGAUAACUAAGAAAAUGGAUGUUCUGAGGCCAUAUAACAUGAAGGAGAUGAAUUUAUUGCUGUUAGUGAGGACUUUGACAUCAAGAAAUAGUUUUCUGCUUAUAGUCUAUAUACUUCUCAGGCUCUAUAGUGCUGAGUUGAUCUUGUUGCCCUUGCCUAUUCUGAACUUUCAGAGAUAUAAAUCGUCUCUAUUUUAGAUUCAUAAGUUUUAUACUGUUUCUUUUCAUCAGGGAUAUUGGAGUUGAAAUUAGUUUCAUUAGAAUUUCUCCAACAGUGCUUGAUGAAAAGCAUUAUCACUCUUUCCAUAUUAUUAGUGUAUUCAAAAUGAAACAUUUUGAGGAAUUGAAAUGAAUGAUGGAUGUAUAUACAGUAUUGGUUAAAACAGUUGCUGGAAAUGGCCUUGCCACAUGCCUGAGAAACAGGAAAAUCCAGUACCUUUGAUCAUAUGUUAAAUGCACACAUACAGUAAGUAAAUAAGAGAUAAAUAAGUAACUGUGACUUUAAAAGUAGUGAUAAAGUUUGGUUAUUUUCAUUAGCCAAUGAGUCCAUCAAGCAGGAAUACUUGAAAUCUGGUAUAUUAAAUUACUAUGUCUAAAUUUUUGAGAAAGUAAAGUGAUAUUUGCAACUCAAAUGUGUAUGGAAAGCAAUAGUAAUGGAAAAAGCAUGAACCUUACAGUUAGGAAAAUUAUGGUGACUUUUUGGCUUAGGUGUCACUAUUCUAUUUCUGUUGAGUUUUGUCCACUGUUAAUUGUACGAUGAUAUUUUAGUGAUUGUCAUGAGGAUUUCAUUGUCUGAUCUACAUUCAAUUAUCUCUAAUUUUGUCAGGCACAUAGUAGGGGACUCACAACUAUUUUUGAAACAAUGGUAUUCAUAUACACAAACAUUCAUGAAUGCAUGAAUAAGUAAAAAGGGUAUGGUCUUGCACAAAAGUGGUUAAUAAGUAUUUGUUACACUUCUAUUCCUUCUGCCUUCAGAAUAGUUGUGAUCAUUAAACACGUGAAUAUAUAUAUAUAUAUAUAUAUAUAUAUAUAUAUAUAUAUAUAUAAAGAGCUACUGAAAAAAAGUGUCAGCUUUCUUUCAACAUCGUUGCACACACGCCCACAUAAACAUGUCUUUAUCUAGCAGUCUGUAAAUGCAUACUUGCUUCUAAAUUAUUGUACAACAAAAUACUUAACCACUUAGCAUGGCAAAGACAAAUGUGUAGUAGGUUAACAGCAAGUUGAAUAUGUGGUUAUUAUUUAAUGUAUCUAAAAUUAAACUAUUCAUUAUACUUCCCAUCCACUCUGAGUCCCAGAGUAUGUCCAAUGUAUGAGAUAUAAUUCAGCAUUCAAUUCUAGACGCUUAUAAAAUUCUUUUGUCUAGGUACAUCUGCCACCUCCAACUUUCUGAUACAUUACAGUUCUCUGAUAGUAGAGCUAUAACUUCUCUUAUGCCAUAGCACAAAGCUAAAUAUGUCUAUCAAAUUACAUUAGUUAGGAUGAUGUGAAUUAAUAUUCCCUGGUAUGUCCUUUCUUAUUAUCAAGUGAACAAUACUUUUACCUGUUAUUGUUACUAUCAUCAUGCAAAUAUUCAGGGAAAUCAAAAUAACCUAGCUAUUUAUAAAAGACAUACCUGAAACAAAAAUAGUAUCAAAAACUUGGAAAAAAAAGAUAUAAUUCACUAUGCAAAAAAUAACAAAAUACAGUGGAAAAGCUAUGAAUAUGACAUAAAAUAAAAGUUUAAAAGAAUUUAGUGAAAUGAACAAAAAUUUUUGAUUGAUAAAAGAUAAAUUCUGCUGGGUACAGUGGCACAUUUCUGUAAUCCCAGCAGGUCCCAAAGCUGAGGAAGGAGGAUUGUGAGUUCAAGACCAACAUCAGCAACAGUGAGGCACUAAGCAACUCAGUGAGACCCUGUCUCUAAAUAAAUACCAAAUAGGGCUGGAGAUGUGGCCUAGUGAUCAAGUGCCCCUGAGUUCAAUCCCUGGUACCCUAACCACUGCCCCCUCCAAAAAGAAGAUAAACUCCACUGGAGAGGUAUAUCAGUUAAGAACUUUUAAGAACUUAAGAAAUGCAAAGAAAAUAUAUAUGAUCACAGAAAUUUCCUCAGAAAAUAAAAGAACAAGAUAAGAAAUACAAUCAUCCUGUUUCUAUACAGAUGCAUAGGUACAUUUAGAUAUGAAUCUUGUAUGUAUUUGGGUAAGAUCAGACUCAUUUCUCUGAAACUUCAAGUAGUACUGAUGGACCAAAAAGUUUCAAAAUACAAAUGUAAUUAGGUUAGAGUCAGUGGUUCAGAAAGACAUAAUGAUCUUCAGCUUCCUUCUGGGGUUCACAGGCUUCACUUCUUGCUACUCAUGCUUAACCUUCUGUUGUGGCUAGGGACAUGAGAUAAAGCCUGUGUGAGUAGACCAAGCUUACCUGGUCACACAGGUUAGAGACCCUGACCAUUCAGCUGCUGGCAGACCAGGCCCAUUAUGUGUGGUUUCCAUGACUGCAUAAUGGUUAGUAAUCACUCAUUCUCAUCAUGUAACUGAUAAAAAUAACAUCAGAUGAGUUAGGGUAUAGAUUAUAGCAAAGCCUAUAGAUAACAUAAAGUAUAGGAUAUGCCUUUUAUUCUUAAGUGUGGGAUUUUAUGAAGAAGCUUGGGAUUCCCAAGUAUCACAUGCCCAGCAGGAUACCAAAGAUUUGCUACCUUAAAUUUAUAUGCUCACAGAUAUCUGAACAGAAAAGAUAAACAAAAUAAAAUAUGUAAGGUACAACUAUGUCCCACAUACCAUUGAAGAUAUCUUUUAUGGUAUAGCUGGAUAUAUGAGUGUUAGACACUGCUAACAUUUUUGGAGAAGGCACAGUAAAACUGCAUCCAUUCAUUGCUGAAGGCCAAUGGAGAUUAACAUCUUUAAAAAGAUGCUCUACACUUUUGAAUAAUUUGAUGUGUUAAAGUUUAAUAAUGUAUCACAGCUGGAGGCCACAGUGGUUUUUUUUCAUUGAUUUAAUAAACUUUGUUAAAAAUAAUUUAAAUGAAAAUCAAUUAUUUUGACAGAAUAUUAAAACAUGUUAGGAAGUACAGUAAAGAUAUUAAAUUAAUUAGACCUUUCAUUCUGCAAAUCUCUAAAAUUAGUGAGAUAAACAAAUUUUUAAAAAUCUUAAAUAUGAAAUGAAGAAACAUUUCAGAGUGUAGUACUUUCUUUCGGCUAACUUAAAAGACAGUAACCAAGAAACUGUUGUAAUUAUGAUUGCCCAUUAAUAUAGGCCUUGAGAUACGAACAUUCUUUGUGAAGAAUAUGGGCUUUGAGACUGCCAACAUUACUUCUGUGAAAGGGAAAAAACCCUGGGAAUUAUGUUUUUGUAUGAUCCUGGAUUUUUUGAUCUCAUGUAUAUGAUUUGCAUCCUUGCUAGAAAAACAACAAAAUAAAACAAACAAACAAACAAACAAACAAAAAAGAGAAAAUAAUGAGAAGGAAAAAAAACCCUCAAGUUCAUAUUACCACUGUUGCUGGAUUCUCAUCCCUAGAACCUCUGUGGUCUUCUGAUGCUCAGCAAGUGUCCAUAAGUGUGUACUUACGGGUAUUUGAAUUCAACAGAAUAGUCCAUUUAUAAGAAAACACCCACAUGCAUGACCCACUGUACAUAUGCACACUCACAAAUACACAUGACACCCCAAUAACUGCCCAAACACAGGAUUUAUUUGAUAUAAUCUCUUUAAAAAACUCAAUAAAGGGGGCUGGGCAUGUGGCUCAAGCAGUAGCGCGCUCGCCUGGCAUGCGUGCGGCCCUGGUUCGAUCCUCAGCACCACAUACAAACAAAGAUGUUGUGUCCACCGAAAACUAAAAAAUAAAUAUUAAAAAAUUCUCUCUCUCUCUCUCUCAAAAAAAAAAAACUCAAUAAAGCCAAAAUUGAAUUUAACAGGUUGUAAUAAAGCUAAUCACACUAGGAUAAGUAAUACUGUGAUUUUAAAAAUACUAGCAACAAAAGUAGAAUAUUUGAAGAGAAAGUAGAAAGAAAACCCUCAGAAUUCCAACCUAAAGGAUCUAGCCAAAAAGAAACAAUCUGGAGAAUUUAUAGUCUUGAAAAUAUCCUUUAGGGAAUUCGACACUGCCCAUCCCCAUUCCACCCUCAAAAGGUGACUAGAGGUAAACAUAGUUGUGUGUGUGUGUGUGUGUGUGUGUAAGGAGAGAGAGGGAUAAUCAUCCCUCACUAUCCAUGGGAGAUCAUUCCAUAACCUCUUCUGGAUACCAAAAGUCACAGAUGCUUUAGUCUCUUAUAUAAAAUGACACAGUAUUUGCAUAUAACCUGUAAAUAUUCUCCUGUAUUAUUUAUCAUACCUAAUACAAUGUAAAUGAUAUGUUGUUGUAUUUAAUCAUUAGUGAAUAUAGUUACAUAGUAGUUAUAUUGCUUUGGGAAUAAAGACAGGGAAGUUUAUAUGUUCAGUAUAGAUGUGGCUGUUUUCCUUAAUGUAUUGGUUUUGUAGGUAUAGAACUCAGAUAUGGAGGGCAGACUGUAUAUGAAAACCACAGUAGAAUUAAAGAAUUAAGACAGAAGCAGAAAAUAAGACUUUCUUAAAGUUAUGCUAUGAAUUGAACACAUUUUGUAAACUUUUCAUUCCACUGUAAACAUUAAAACAUUGUAUACUGAAUGUUUUAAAUUAAAAAAAAAAGGUUUAAAAUGCAAGAAAAAAUGAAUUUCCAGGGAUUAAAGUAAAAAAAAAAUCACCACGUUAAACUAUGAUUGGAACCUGAAGCUACAUAAAAUAAGAAGUGAACAUAGCAGCCUGGUUCUUAACAUAUGUGUACAAUAUGGGAAGCCUGUGUAUUGCAGCCUGUGUAUUGCAAGAGGUAAAAUUGGAUCCACUGAAGAAAGUUUGCAAUUGCCUAUUCAUGGAUAGAACUAAAAUAAUUUUAGAUCUUAUCAUCUCCCAUAUCCACUCCCACUCCUGCUCAAACUAUAAACCAAGUUAAAAGAAAAGCCACAGAUUGGAAAAUUGUUAUGAUUAUUGUAAUUGUAAUAUUAUCAUUGUAUGGGUUAUAAAAAGAUACUUAUAAUCAAUGAAAAUAAGGGGAAAGCGAUUAAAAAAUAGUAGUUCAAGAAUAUAAAUAAAACAUUCACAGAAGAGGAAAUCCGGCUGUGUUUCUAUUUACCUUCUCAGGUUCAGGGAAUUGGAAAUUGCUGAAUAAUGACAUGCCAUUUCCAGCUAUCAUACUUUUAAAUUGGCUAUAUAAUCUUUUAGUUUUAACUAGGAUGUGAGGAAGUAAACAUUCUCAUGACACGCUAGGAGCUGUGUAUAUAGAUGACUUUUGCUGUAUACAACUUAUUAACGAACUUUCAAAAGCUACAUGAAAUAAACGUAUUUUAGAAAAUGACAAAUUAAUUCAAGAUUCAGAGAACAGACUAAUAGAUCAACUAUGUUACAGGAAAUUGAAAAUAAGCAUAAGAAUGCUGCAAAAAUGUAGUAGGCUUACAAAAGUUCAGAAUCAUUUUUUGAUUAAACAUUCCAGUAUAGAAUAUUUGUUCAAUAUGUCAUAUUAACUAUUCAUAAUGCACUUAUUUCCCCAUAGGAUAUAUAAGGUCAGCUAUGAUACAAAAAUUAGAGAAAUAAUACACAAAACUUAUAAAACAAUAUUAUUUAUGGAAAUCCAAAUAUCCCAAAUACAGUUUUUAAUUUAAAUUUCAAUAUAUUAUAAUAAAUAAUCAUAAACAGGAGAUUAUCCUAGUGAUAAAAUGGUAUUUCAAUAUUUUAUUGUAUUAUAAACUGUUAUAUUAAAAGAAUAAAACAUACUGUAAAUAUCUCAGUAGUUGAAAAGCUAUAUAAUAUAGUUCAACACUUAACUUUUUUAGAACCUCAUGAUAUGCUAAUAAAAUCAGUAAAAAUGGCUAAAUAUUUUCACAUAUAUAGCUAGAUACAUAUAUAAAAUAAAUAUGCAUCUAUCAUCUAUCUAUAUAUAAUUUCAGCCAAAUUUAUUGUAAAAGAUCAGACAGUAAAAUAAUUUUAGCUGUGUUUCAUAUUCAAAUUUGCUCAAUAUUGCUGUAUAAAAGUACUUAUGGAUGAUAUGUAAAUAAGUGAUGAUGGCAGAGUUCCAAGGAAACCUUACUUAUUUAUAAUAACCAGCAACUGGGAAUUUAGUUCAUGGGUCCUAGUUUGCUAAAUUCUACCAUAGAAACUCUGUUGAGACUUAAACUCAUGCAUGAACAAUUAGAAAUAUUGCCACAAAAUUUAGGAACAAUAUAUAGAAACACAUUUUCUUAAUCCAUUUUAGUUGCUAUACGAAAACACUCUAAUUUAGGUCAGUUAUAAACAACAGAAAUUUUGUUUCUCCCAGUUCUGGAAGCCAGGAAAUCUUAGAUCAAGGUAAAUUUGUUGUUUGAGAGGGCUCUUUACUCGUGACAGCUACUUUCUUACUUUAACUUUCCUUGGCAGAAGAGCAGAAGGAUUUUUCUUGAAUCUCUCUGGUAAGGGGAAACUAAUUCUACUCCAUGUGGCUCUGUCUUCGUGAUCUAAUCGUUAAUUAAACCAUCCAGUAUAGAAUAUUUAUUUAAUAUGUCAUAUUAACUAUUCAUAAUGCAUUUAUUUCCCCAUAGGACAUAUAAGGUCACUCCUAAUAUAAUCAACAAGAGGUCAAGAAUUUCAGCAUAUGAAUAUGGGAGUGACAUAAUCCCAAAGAGCACAACCCCAAUGACCUACUUCCUCCAGCUAUCCCUCAUUUCCUACAGUUACCACCGAGUAAUCAUUCAAACUAUUAAGGAAGCAAAUGGAUGAAUGCAAUGAUUAUGUUUCAGCUCUCAUAAUCUAAUCAUUUCACCUCUGAACAUUUCUUCAUUAACAUGUGAGUUUUUACAGUUAUCACUUCAUAUCCAAACCAUAACAUAUCCUUAUAUCUAAGAUCAACUCUACCACUCUAUACUCGUUUCAUGUAUUAUCCCAGUUUUGUUCUAAAUAGUUGACAUCAAAGCAUUUUGGCCAACUCCAACACAACCCAGUGUUUGCUAUUUUCUCCAAUAAAAAUGUGUGUGUGUGUGUGUGUAUAUAUAUAUAUAUAUAUAUAUAUAUAUAUAUAUAUAUAUAUAUAUAUAUAUAUAUCUUAUAUUUUAAAUAUACUUUUCAUGUUUCUGUGAUAUUCUAGGUCUAAAUUCUGUUAUGCCAAUGUUGUUUCAAUUAGCUGUGACCAAAAUUUCUGACAGGAGCAGUGUAGAGGAGGAAAUAAUUAUUUUGGCUCUUGGUUUCAGAGUUUGAGUCCAUGGUCAACUGGCUCUAUAGCCCUGGGCCCAAGGUAAGUCAGAAUAUCAUGGCAGGAGGGUAUGACAGGGAAAAGCUGCUCAGGACAUGACAACCAGGAAGCAGAGAGCUUUGCUUACCAGGGACAAAAUAUAAACUGGAAUGACAUGACCCUAGUGACCUACUUCUUCCCAUCACAUCCUACCUGCCUACAAUUAAUGCCCAGUUAAUUCAUAUCAGUGAACCAAUCCAUUGAUUAAUCAAAGAUUUCAUCAUCUCAUCAUUUUAUAAUAUUCAUAAUAUUAUAUAUAAUAUAUGCAAUAUUAUAUGUAAUAUAUAAUUCAUAAUAUUAUAUAUAAUAUAUACAAUAUUAUGUGUAAUAUAUAAUUAUUAUAUGUAACAAAUAAUAUUGUAUAUAUUAUAUACAUAUUUUAAUAUUCAUAAUCUCUGAAUAUUCUUGUAUUUUCUCACACAUGAAAUUUUGGGGGGGAUACCUCAUAUUUAAACCAUAACAAAUGUAGAAUUCAAAACAAAACAUGUUAAAGACAUAUCAGCCUCAUAUCAUAUUCAGCCUCUAUUGUUUCUUGUUUCUAAAGGCAGAUGAUUAUAGUUUAGCUUCUACUAAUGAAAGAACACAUAUGGGAUGGAACUCAGAACUGAGUAAAAUGGAAAAAGAGAUUGGACCAAGAGUAGUCAUUUUUGUUGGCUUGUGUUUAUCAAAGACAGCUGAGUUCUAGAGUCAGCCACUAGGAAGACAAAUUCCUGAUUCUAUUACUUUAUGAUCAUGACAAAGGCAGUAUUGGUACUACAUCCCUACAUCAAAACAACAACAACAAAAAACAAACAAACAAACAAAAAACCGCAGCUUUGGCUUCCAGUUUUUUAUAGUUUCCUUCCUAAGCAUGGAAGAAAGUACAAAUCUGGAAACAAUAUUGAUGUAAGUAGUUUCCUCAAUCAGAUCUUCCAGUCAUAGAGAGAGCAGUGAAUCUUGCCUAAAGGAUCUUUCUUGGCAUGCCUUUUAUGUUCUUCAAACUCUUUAUGUUUCCCAAUAAAUCUCUUUCUGAUUAAAUUAUCUAUAGUGGAUUCUGUUAUUGGCAACUAUGAUUCCUAAUGGACCAAACUGCUGUGGGGUUGGUAACAUAGAGGCCAGAAACAAUGAGAUAAAAUACAUUGCAAAAGAAAUGGUUAUUAUUGUUACUAUUACUAUUAUUAUUAUGUAAAUUAUUUAUGAAUGCUUAAAGUUGUUUAUAAUUAUGUAACAUUCUGGGUUCAGUGAUAAAUUGUUUGCUUUGUUUUGUUAACACCCAUCCACACCUCAACAUGAGCCAGCAUUCCAAAAGGAUAUAAGAGGCUGACACUAGAACCACUAUUCUAGUUUUUACUGGGUGUUUGUAAAACUGAUUUUCUCACAUGACAUGUUCUCAAUUCUUUCUCAUGGGACUGUACUUUACCUAAUAAGGAAAAAUUGGUGAGGAGUAAGUAUAUAAAGUUUAUUCUUAGUUUCUGCCUGUAUUUCAUGCUCUAGUCAUUCAAAUACCCUUACCUACAGCAUUACUAUAGGCAAUUUAUCACUGAGCAUAGCCUCAGAGUGCUUAAAUCUGAGUCCUCUUGCUUUUCAUUUCAACAAAUGCUUAGCACAAAGGGUUCUUAUUUGUUGUUGGGAAAAUCUCUGUCUUUAACAGUCCAUUUGUUCUCUCAUUUUGCAGUAAUAGAAAACCAGCUGUGUAACUAAAAUGCAUGCAUGACAUAAUUCUCAUCAAAUGAUAUUAACUUACUCAGGUAAAAUAUUGAACAUACAAUAACUUGAAAAUAAUGUAUUAUCAGCCACCGGUUUGCUUCAGUUUUAUGUUUUGUAUACCUAGCCUAAAUUAACUUUUUUACAAAGGAAUAAGAAUUUUAAAAGCACUAGUAUGGUGUACAUUCCAUAAGAACAAGGACAGUGUGUUAACUCAUCUUUCAUCAAUGUGACAGAAACAACAACAACAAAAUAACAAGAACAACAUAGAGGAGUAAGUAACUUCUGAUAUCAGAAGUUCAGUCCAUAGAGAACUGACUCCUUUGCUCCAGGUUCAAGAUGAGGCAAGAGCAUUCUGGUAGAAGGAUAUGGUGAGAGGUGCUGCUCCAUUCAUUGCAUCAAGGAAGCUUCCUUCCAGGGCAUACCCUCAGUGAACAACCUCACCCAAUCACCUGCCUACUGUUAUCACUUAGUCCAUUCAAAUUAGGAUGGACUGAUUUGAUUACAGCUCUUGGAAUCCAAUCAUGUCUCCUCCAAACAUUUGUGUUAUAACACAGGGUUAUUUUAAGGGACACCACAUAUCCAAACCACAACAGAAAAGUUCUUAAACUCAUCUCCAAAGUAAAUUUAAGGAAAAGAGCAAAAAAUUGCCUGCAUUGUUCAGAACUAUCAGUCUUUUGUAUUUUUUUUAAAUCCCAUUUCUUAAAGCCAUGGGGGAAAGAAAGAAUAGAAAUGACUGAGCCCUAGAGAAGAGGGGAUAAACAGCUGAUAAACAUAACUUGUUUUUUCCUAGAAUAUUCUGAGUUUCACCCUCAUGGUUUCUGUCAAAGAUAAUAAUAACAAAAAUAACUAAAACAAAAACAAAGAAUGAAUUUGCUUUGAAUCAGUCUGCGUGGCCCAGACAUCUUUGAUGAGGAAGAAGAUUCAGAUUCUUCAUUAUAUUAAGCUAUAUAAUUUUUAAAAAUUUUUUAGUCUGAGUCUUUCUUUAAUUUAGCCUUCUGAUAAAAUAUAUUCAAACUUUUUAAUUAGUGUAGAAUAUUUAACUAGUUUAAAUUUAACAUUAUGUGACUAUUAAGUGGGAAUUAAAAAAAUAAAAUAAAGAGGAUUCCCUAGUUACCUUCACUCCCUUUCUCCACUCUUCUGGAGAAUUUCGGUACCCUAUAUUUGCAUUAUGCAACUGGUCUCCUUGUUUCAAUAAGUUCCCAACUCAAAAAUUAGUAAACUUUUUCUGUAAAGAAUCAUUUAGUGGAUAUUGUAGGCUUUUGUCUCUGUUGCAAAUACUUAACCGUAUUGUGCAAGCACAACCACAAACAAUAAUUAAACCAACAUAUCUGACUAUGGUACAAUAAAACUUUUUUUUAAUAUAAAAACAGGGAUUAGACUAGAUUUGGUGUAUAGACUUCUGUUUUCUGAUCUCUGCCCUUAAAUUAAUUAACCAAUCAAUCAAAAUAAUUUGUUUUAAAAAAGCACACCACCAGUUUGGUAACUAUAACAUUUAAAAUAUUCUUUGGAGAUGGAUAUAGUGGAUUUUUUAAUGUCAAGUAAAUGUUAUUUAACAAAGAAUAUCAAAGGACAUUAGAUUUGGGGUCCAGGGCAGAAAAGCAAGUAGUGGUUUCAACAUUUACAAAAAAAAUGUCCAGAAAAUCAAAAGCUUUUGCAUAGGAAAUAUGGUCAGGAGAAAACAGAAGGUUAUUUGCUCCUUCAGAGCAUUAUGUUCCAAACUUAUAGACAUUCAUCUUUCUCUUCUGCUUUCCUUCCAAAAUCCAUUUGAUGAACAGAUUUGUCUUCUGGUAUAAAGACUAUGGAUCAUUCGAAUUAAGUAACCUGAAAAAGGUGAACAUUGAAAAGUGUUCAAAUGAAUUGUACUUAGCACUUAGCUUGAAGGGGACUUUCAACAAACAAAUGUUUUGGUAUCUUUUUUUUCUUUGAAAGGUAAUUAUUUAUUAUGGUAGAAAUUACAUAAAAUACACAUUGAUUUAUUGUGCAUGUUUCAUGUUAAUUGAAUCUUCAAGUCGGAUAGCUGCUAUAACUUGAUACAUUUACUUCUUGGUAUUGUCUUGGCAAUGUAUGUAAUUUUUGAUUUCUUAUUGAGGAUAAUGCAUAUAAGUUUCAGAAAUAACCUCUAAGCACCAAGACAGAACUUUUGAUGUCCAUUUUGAUUGUAGUUAUUUUAGGCUUAAAACAGCCAAGAUCCCAUUCCACAUGAAAACAUACACUAACCCUCUGAGAGUUGUCAAAAGAAACAUUAAAUCCCCAUAUUCAUUGAUAAAGACAAUUUCAUUUUGUUGCUCCUUCUUUCCUCUCCAUUUCUUUCUUAAUAGUUUUAUUUCCAAGUAUUCAUGCUAGACAUACAAAAUGACAUUAAUGCACUUGUAAGAGUUUGGAAGAUGAUAGAGCAGAGCAUAUCAAAACUAUCCUAGAAUCUGUGUCAACAUUUAUUCUUUAUCUCGAAAUAAAGAAAUGAAGAUUAUUAAUUUGAAAUGAACAUGUAUUUCUAAUCAUUAAUAUAACAUGCUUAACAUAUAUACCCAUGUUUUAUAAUACACAUUUAUCCACUUAUAUUUAUUGUAUAGAUUGACAUUAGUAACUUCACUUAGUUUCUAUUAAAGAUGACCCUGUCUCAUAUGGAAUUGCCAAUAUAUCCUGAGCAAAGAGUCAAUAUUCCCUGAUGUGGAAUGCAUAAGACUAUAAAUGCUGUGGAAAAGUCUCAAUAUGUCUCAUUUUAUAUUAUGUGUUGUGAGUGAUUUUAUCUUAAAAUAGCAUGCUAAUUAAAAUAUCAACUUUUUUCCAAGCCACUAAAGAAUUAUCAUAGAAGCAGUAAAGAAAUUUCAAAAAGAAUAAAGAUCAUCAACUAUUGUUUAAAAAAACAAUCAUUUAUUAUUGUUUUAAAGAAACUACUUAAAAUGAUGUUUUAAAGGAACAAAUUUGUUUUGUGGAAUAUUUUUAUAAACACAAUUCCCAGUUGAAAAAGUGGCUUGAUUAGAAUAAAAAGUAAACAAGCAUUUCAACCACUGAAAGGGACUCUAAGUAGAUUUCAUUAUUACUACCUUGUUCCUAUUCCACUGUUUCCUUCCCUACUUCUGUAUUGAGAUGAGUUCUUGAAGUUCAUCUCCCAUCAUGCCACUACCUCUGUAAACAUUCCCUUCUUGAAAGAAUUGUGUUCAACACUUUGUGAUCAUAUUAUUUUUUUUCUCAUCUUUCAACAUUUUAUUAAAAGCAGAUACUCUUGCCACAUUAGACUACAUGAGCAUUUCUAUAUAGGCUUUGUCUAGAAAAUCAUGGACCUUUCUCUUCCCUUUCUCUAUCAAAUCUUUGCAUUGUCAAAUGCUAUCUUCUUUAUAAGUCAUUUUCUAUCCUCCCCAUUGAGAUUUUACCUUAUUCUUUUAUGUUCUCAUUUUUCAUAGUUGUCUUAUCUUUUAUGUGGUUUGAAAGAAACAACUAUUUUUUUUUCUUAUUUGUCAUUGUCCACAUAAGGGUUCUUUGAUGAGUUGAAUUUGUUUCUCCUACUCCAGGACCAUAAACUGUCUCUACUUGAUUUCUUUCUGAGCCCCAUCACUGAAUACCCUUUAGUAUGAAAAAUAAUUUUUCAAAAUUUUUGCAGCCAUUUUUAUGUUUAAUUAAAUCAUGCACUUCAGGAGGGCAAAACCCAUGAAUUAGUUUUUAUUCAAUCCUGGUGACACCUAAACCAGAGCUUACUAAGUUUAUGACAGUUAGUAGGUAUUUGUUAACUAAGCACAUAAGCAUUAUUUGUGAUUUAAUGCUAUGGUUUUGCUUAGUACUGGACCUAUACUCAAUAUAUUUUGUAUCAGAUUAUACUUUUCAAAGACAAUCGCAUAAUAUUUCUCUUCCAUUAACACUGUCUAUGUUAGGAAGUAAAUUGUCUGUACUCUCCUCUUGCACUUGAGUAGGCUCUUGGGUUGCUUAUAAAUAAUGCAAUGCUGUGGAAACAAUACAGAUAACUUCUGAAUCUUAGUUAUAAAAGACUCUGGGGCUUCUUGCUUUGUUUUCCAGAACAUUCUUACUUGGAGACCUGAGUAGCCAUAUAAGAAAUCUGACUACUGUGAAACUACCACCGUCUGAGGAAGCAAGGAGAGGAUACAUGUUGACUCUACAGUUUGAAAUCACAGUCUUCUGAGUUCAGGUGUCAGUCAUGUGAGUGUUAUAGUCUGAACAUGUUUGUUUCCUCAAAAAUUCAUGCUGAAACUUAAUGCAAUAGUAUUGGAAGGCAUUUCCUUUGGGAGGUGAUUAAGUCAUAAGAGCAGAGUCUUCAUGAAUAGGAUCAGGGGCUCUUAUGAAAGGCAUUGACAGAGGCCUUCUGUCUCAUCUACCACAUACAGAAACAUGAUCCUUCCCUCUAGAGAAUGAGGCAUCAAGGUGCCACAUUGGAAGCAGAAAGCACACACAUAAAUUAUCAGAAAAGCACCACUAAGGAUUCAUAUUGGAGUUGCAACUAGCAUUAUUCAAGGGUUUAUGGUAUAUUUUUAUCAUCCAACUAAAAUGAAGUAAAAAAGACUGGCAUUGCAGUCAAGUUCAUAUCAAUGCAUCGAAGGGAAAGAAUCAGCUAAUGUUAUACUUGCUUACUGACAUCAUUAAUUAGUGAUAUUCAUUUGAUCUAGGUGUAUAAAAAUAGUAGAUAGAAUUUAUUCUUGAAAUAAACCAUGGAGACUAAAAUUGAUAGUAGUACCUAAGAGAGAGGAAAGGUUAUAUUUUGGAGUUAGUUUCAUAGUACAAAUCUAUAUAUCACUGUGCCUUUUUAAUGCAUCCCUACAUUAAUCUUAGAUUUAAUGUGUGAAGUAUAUGGAACAAAGAGACCUUAAGGAUUGUAUCAGAGAAAAAGGAACUUGGCUUUGUUUUUACUAUUUUUGAGCACAUAUUGGUUUGACUAAUUCCCAAGAACUAUAUUUUAGUAAUACAUAUUGAGGGUCAAGUUUUAUUUAUUUAUAUAUUCAAAUUUGCAGGAAAUUCUCCACGAUUCCAAAGAGAAUGUCCUCUUUCUCCAUUUACUGUAGGAUUAUUUCAUUGCCUGGUACAUGUUUCUGUGGAAUUAAAGUAAUGUGAUUUGAGUUGGAAUAAAUUUGCCUCACUCAAAAAAAUAAUAAUAAGCACCAAACUUGUAGGUGCUUUUUAUUUGAUUCAUUUACUCAAGAAAACAAAAUUUUAUUUGUAAUUAUUGGUUUGAUUCUUUUGAGGAGAUGCCAAUACUCAUACUUACCUAAGACAAAUAUUUAUAAAUAAUUAUCGAAUUUUCCUCAUUUAGUCUGGUAAUAGGGUCAGAAUUCAUAAUGGAGUGAUUCAUUGAAUAUCUAUGAAAUUCUGAAAAUUGGUGUAUGACUUGAAAUGUUGUCAUUCUUGUUUACUGGUAUCAUUAAUUGAUAUUUAAUAGAGAUAACUAUAUACUUAUUUGGGAAUAAUUGAAAUCAAUAUCUAGAACUUGCUACUGGCUGAUUAUUUUUAAUCUGACAUGUAUAUAUAUGCAACUUCUAUAGAUUAGAU
This 73824-nucleotide long non-coding RNA is filed under the name Marmota monax (woodchuck). Lineage: Eukaryota; Metazoa; Chordata; Mammalia; Rodentia; Sciuridae. The record is from RNAcentral.